UCGCUUCCUUGAUUCCCUCAUUGAUCAUGCUGAUGACGUUAAGGAGCUGCAGUCCGCCGGGGUACUCCAAAACAAUCUAGGCACUCAUGAAGAAGUGGCUGAAUUUUUCAACACUGUGUCCGCCGACUUGGAAUCAAACUUUCUUGCUUACAAAGAUGUGAGAGUCAAGAUUCGGAACCACCUUAAAAGUCACUAUAACAGCAGACUGAAAAUGUGGAUGACACAAUGCCUGGACACCUACUUCGGUAGCCCCUGGACUAUCAUAGCUUGGGUUGGUGCUGCUUUGGCCCUUUUCUUUACUGCCGUCCAGACUUACCUCUCAGUCUUCCCUCAUUGAUGCAUGCAUGCCCUGUUUUCUCGCUAUCUAUUGAGUGCUUCUGCAUUUUACCUAGCCCAAAUUCAUGGCCUCCAUAUAACCCUUUGAUGGUUGCAAAGUAAAUUAGGCAAAGAGUCAUUGGUCUCGUUUCUUUUCCUUUUUCAGCGUAUUUUCUAUCUUCCUUUCCGUGUGUAAAACAAGUAAAAAAGGAAUGUGUGCUGUGAUCUUAUUUUAGUGUAUUUUGUGCCUAUGUAUGCAUCAGUAAUAUUAUGUUUUAUUUAAGUAACUAAAAAUAGAUAUGGGUGGACUAUUUUUCUAUUUUUGGAUCCCUGUUAAUGUAUUAUGUUAGGUUGGCAAUUUUAUUCAUUGAUGUUUUAGUCGGAUACAACUUAUUUCCUCAAAUCUUAAUGGUUGUGACCGAGUUCAUCAGUUCGAUACGAGGUAAGUGUUUGAAGAAGUAGAUACAGCAAUGAAAACUUAAAAUAUGAAAAACAAAAACAAAAAAGCAAAAGCAAAACAAAGUGAAAGUGGAGAAAAACCUGGCUGGAAUGUACGAAAUUCAACAGAUGCAAGUGUCAUUUAUUCAUUUUUAUUUGAGAAAAAAUAAAAUAUUAAAAAUAUUCUUAGAAAUCUAUUUAUCAAUUUUUUAUUAUAAUUUUUUUCUUGGAUUUCGUACAAAAUAUAUCAAAAGAAUUGAUAUUAGCUUCCAUGAACUUAUCUCAAAUACCAUUUUUGUGGCGAAGAAGCUUCCAACAAGUGGAUCUUUUCUGAAGAAAAUAAAGGGAAGAAGCCGUGGAAUAGAAUAACGGGGAAUGGUAUUUAUGUUAUAUUGAAGGCAAUUAAUGGAUGGAUGUAUUGAUAUGAUUUUUAUCUUCUUGGUUGAUUGUGUAAAUAGAAUGAUUGUCUAGAGAAUUUAUUAGGUGGAAGUAAAUAUGAAUUCUCUUCAUCUCAAAGGGAGUAGUAUUUUUUGGUGAAAAAGAGUUUAGUAAUUUAAUCAUUUUACAAAAAAAACAUUUUAUUUUUCUUUUUUAUUUUUAAGAUGAUAUUAGAAAGUUUGAAUGUAAUGUUUUACAUUGGAUAUAUGAGAAAAUUGGGUAUCAAUCCCUUACUCCGGUAUGGGAGUUUGUUUGGUUCUAUAAAGGGUAUUUAUUUGUUUCGUCCAACAAUCUCAUAGGAUACAACAAAGACAUUAUAUUUAUAUGAGGAAUGUUUGUAAUGUUUCACAAUGAAUAAAAGAGAAAGUUCCUAAGAUUAUAUAUGUAUGAGUUUCUUUUAAUUUUGUAAACGUGUUUUAGAGUCUUAAAUGUCUUAUUGGACACAGAGCAAAUAAUAUUUAUAUGGUUAGAUACAAGUCAUCACAAAUGGUUUAAAAGCUAAUCAUUUUUCUUGGUGUGGGAGUUUGUUUAGUCCUAUGAAGCAUUUUUGUCUAUUUGACCAUAUAAUCUCAUGAGACAUGUGGUUAUGUCCCAUAAACAAAAAUUUGAAGUGAAAGAAAUGAUCUCUUGAAAAAUAUUUAAGACACUUUAAAUAUAUAUAUAUGACAAUCUCGUUGUAAUCAAAAGUCAAUUUCAAACCAAGACAAAAUUUGUCGAUUUGUUCAUGGUUUAAGAUAAAGGUAUGAAUUUUUUUUUUCACCUACUAUACUUUUCUAGCCAAUUUAUAGUAGCUUUUCAAAGACAUAAGCAAUCACUCACUACCAAAAAAAAAAAAAAAAGAAAAUGUUCUUAAAGCAUGCAUAAUUUUUUAUUUGGACGACAUUGUAAUGAUCAAAAUGGUUGAGAAAACAAAAUUUUCAAUUUGAUGGGAAGGGGUUUCAUCCUUUUUAUGUGUUACAAUUCUUAAAAAAUAAAAAAUAAAAAAUACUUUCGUGUUUUUAUGAAGUCCUUGUCAAAGGAUGUCUUUAUCAUGUUUUAAGACAAGUUGGGACUAUAGACAGUUAUUGGCAUUGGCCAAAUAACCAAGAAUUCUUGAUACUUGUCCCAUACAAGUAUAGUUUUCUAAGUUGGGUUGAUUUUUGUAAACCACAACUCUUCAACCCAGUAAAUGGCGUUAAAUAUAAUGUUUGGAGGUUGGUCAUCUUAUGAAGACCCAAAUCACCACCAAAGCAACUCUCCAUUUUCGGUUGGCUUAAGAUCUUACUGUCAGGAAUGUAUAGAUGUUUCAAUUGGUACAACUUCCAAAUUGAACAUGGAAUCACGGAAGAACUAUGGCGUACCUCUAGAAUCUAUAGGUUAAAGAGUUUGCCUAUAGACCAUGAAAAACUUUUAGUAGAACGUGCACUCUCGACAGAAAAAUAUUUGUAGAUCUUUUCUGACUUCAAGUAGUGUUAGGUCUAACACUGUUAGCAAUUUUGUUCUUAAGCAAGGUAUCAAAUUUACUUGAGAAAGAUCAAUAGAACAAAUCAAAGAUCGGAGGAGGCGGCAGGUAUGCAAAUGUUUGAGAAAUAUUUUUUAAGUCAUGAGCAAUAAGUCGACGAGGGUUAAAAGGGCAUGCAAGGAUGAUGUUUCGGUGUACCUCAAAUUUUUUUGAAUCUUUGGCUUUUGAAAUAGCAAGGUCGCGAAGGAGAUCAUGGAUACGACAAGACUUUACUCUUCCAUCCCAUUUUCUUCUGGCCACCUGAAUCAUGCUUCUAUGAAUCAACUCUUCUAAAUAAUCCUCAGCAACGUCUUCCACCAUUUCUUCACCCCUUUGUACAAAUCCCUCCGUAAUCCACAUUUGGAGCAAUUUGUUUGCCUUAAUUUCACAAUCUUCCGGAAAAAUACCACAAUAGAGAAAACAAGACCUCAAGAAAUAAGGCAAGUCACUAUAGCUCAAAGCAACAAUUCCCAAGCAUGAGUUGGGGCCUUGACUUAGAUUUCCACUCCAUGCUUUUUAGUAUUUUCUCCCACGAAGAUUUAGACUUCUCUUUUCUUGAUAGAAGCCCUCCUGAUACCACAAUGGCUAGAGGUAAGCCUUUGCAUUUCUUUAUAAUCUCAUUUCCCAUACCUUCAAACUCUACAAGACAAACAACUGGUGAUGUACUUGCAGUUGGAAAAGUUUUCUUGAGAAAGGGCAUCCAACUCUCUUCUGGACAUAAAGGACGGAGUUCAUAGAGCUGUGCAUGGGCAUCCGAAGCAAUUUGUUGGUUAUGUGUGGUGAUGAGCACUCUGCUCUUGUUUGACUUAUGCUAAACUUGGAUGCUCUAUACAUCAUCCAACACUAUCAAAUACCUUUUAUCUUUGAGGUAACCAUUAACCUCUUUCCCCAAUUGAUCCUCAACCAUUUUAUAUUACCUUUAAAAAUUAUUUAAAAUAGCCUUAUGUCACGGACUUAGUCUUUUCCUAAUUAAGCUUGUGCGGCACUUAGACAAACUAAGACCCUUGAUCUUGCUAAGUCAGUCUUACUCUCAAUGCUUAGCUUGCUAGGCUAAGACGCUCACUACUCGGAAGUUUUAGAAGGUAUAGUAGGCAACUCUUAUAGAAUGAAAGCUUUAUUGCUUUCAAAUGAAGCUAUACAAUGCUUAGAAGCUCACUUGCUUGGUUAGGAAGUGAUAUUGAAGCUUUAUUACUUUACUGCCGUCUAGACUUACUUCUCAGCCUUCUCUCAUUGAUGCAUGCAUUCCCUGCUUUCUUGCUAUCUAUCGAGUGCUUCUGCAUUUUACCUAGCCUAAAUUCAUGGACUCCACAUGACCCUUUGAUGUGCAUAGUAAAUUAGGCAAAGAGUCAUUCGUUCCGUUUCUUUUCCAUCUCAGCAGAAUGAAUGGGUGCUGUGAUCUUAUUUUGGUGUAUUUUGUGGUUAUGUACGCAUAGGUAGUAUUAUGUUUGAUUUAAGUAACUAAAAAUAGGCAUGGGUGGACUAUGUUUUCUAUGUUUGGAUCCCUAUGAAUGUAUUGUAUUAGGUUGGCAAUUUUUUUUUAUUGAUGUUUUACUCCAUGCAACUUAUUUCCUCGGAUCUUAAUGGUUGUGAUUGAAUUAAAAUUACUAUGAGGUAAGGGUUUGAAGGAGCAAGAUAAAGUAUGAAAACUUCCAAAAAAAAAAAAGAGAAACAGAACAAUGUGAAAAAUGGAGAAAAACCUGACAGGAAUGCAGGAAAUUUAAUAGAUGAAAGUUAUUUAUUCAUUUUUAAUUGAGAAAAAUAGAAUAUUAUUAUUAUUAUUAUUAGAAAAUUAUUUAUCAAUUUUCUAUUAAAAAAUUUUCUUGGAUUUCACAGAAAAUAUAAUAAAUAAAUUGACAUUAGCUUCCAUGAACUUAUCUCAAAUCCCAUUUUUUUGUGACAGAAGCUUCUGAGGACAGGAUUUUUUUUCUCAGGAAAAAUGGGUGGAACAAGGUGGAAGGUGUGGAAUAGAAGAAUGGAGAAUGGUAUGGAUGUAUUGAUAUGAUUUUAAUCCUCUUGGUAGAUUGUGUAAAUCAGAUGAAUGCGUCAGAGAAUUUCUUGAAUAAGGGUGUAGUAAUUUUCGGUAAUGAAGAGUUCAGUAAUUUGUUGAAUUGUUUUUAAAAUAUUUUCUUUUUCUUUCCAGUUUUUAAGAUGAUAUUGGAAGGUUUGACUCAGUAAUAUUAGGUUUAUAUGUGUUCAGAAUAUGUGCAGGGUUUACAACUUAUAUAAUUUUUGGCAAAUAUUUGUCACAACAGUAAUUAUGAAACUUUUAAGAUGAAUUUAGAAGUGAAAAGUGUUUUAAAAAGUGGAAAAAUCUCCGUAAAAAAGAUUGUGUUAUCUAGCAUGAUUUUUUUUUUCUUUGCUUUUCUUUGCUUUUGUUGCAACUCUUCUAUUUCCAACCUUUUCUUAGGACCAAAAUACUAAUAGUUUCUAUUAAGCAAAAUAAUAAAACAUGACACAAGAUGUACAAUGAUAGGACACAUAAUGAUAAGAAUCCACUUUCAUUAAUAUUUAUAUAAAUAAAAAAUAAUCAAAUAUUAAUUUUAUUUGAUUCUCCUAAUUUAGAAAAUAAUAUUUAUUUUAGAUAAAUCAAGAGCAGCUAAGAAUAUUUUAUCUUCUUAAUUUAGGAAAUAAUAUUUAUUUCCUUAAUGUUAAGAUAUUUAUUUCUUUCUAUGAUACACAAUGCAUCUUUGUAUAAAUUUCUGAAAAAAACAAUAAAACAAUUGUUUUCAUUAUGAAGAAGCUCAAACUUGAGUCUUCUCCAAGAGUGGUUGAAUGUUCUAGAAAGAAUGUCAUAAAAGGCUUGAUGUAUCCUCGUAAAUCAUAUCUUCCUCUUUAAAAAAAAAAAAAAAAAAAAGCCUUAAUGUUCCCAUCUUCCAUUAAUAUUCUUUCUAGUUUGAUUUCAAUCAAGCUAAACAACACAAAUUUUCUACCAUGGUGAAAUCAAAUCAUCCUCUUUCAUGACUUCAAUGUUUUAGCCUUUCAUGUAUGUUCUACGCUUUCAUUAGAGUUAUUUCUGGCUUGAUUUCAAUCAAGUUAAACACCACAAAUUUUCAAUUUUUGUCAUCUUCUUAAUUUGUGGUGUAAGUGUUCUCCAACAUUUCUUACCUCUUGAAAAAAUUAAAUAUUAUAAGGAAAGCAAUGUUCUAUCUUACAAUACUAGUUAUUGAUCAAUGAUAAAUUCAUCACUUCAUGAAUUUGAAUCAUAAAAGAGCAUAUUUUAAGUAUAAUCUUUGGUGUUAACAUGGUGUAUGAGAUAUGAACUUUUAAAGAGAAAUUGCUUCUUAUUAUAAUUGACAAUCACGUCAUAAUCAAAAGCCAAUUUCAAAUCAAGACAAAGUUUGUGAAUCUGUUCAUGGUUUAGGAUAAAGGUCUGAAAUAUUUUUCACCUACUAUGCUUUUCUAGCCUAUUCAUGGUAGCUUUUUAAGAAUACAUGCAAUCAUUCACUACCAAAAGGGAGGGAGAAAACAUUCUUAGAGCAUGCACACAUUUUUAUUUGAACGAUAUAGUCAUAAUUAAAAUGGUUGAGAAGACAAAAUUUUCAAUGUUAGGAAAGAGGCUUCACACUUUUUGUGUGUUAUAUUUCUCACAAAAAAAAUUCUUUCAUGUUUUGAUCAAAUCUCCAUAAAAAAUGAUGUCUUCACCAUGUUUAAGAGUAUAUUGGGUCAAAUAUACUUUACCUUCUUAAGUAAUCAUGUGCUUUACAUUUUGUUCCCUCGUUUAAAAUUCAACAAUUUGUCUUCCAAACUUCUUAAAAACCAACAUUACACCUUUUUUGUUGAAUGAUGUUACAUUAAUAAAACGAAAAAUGUAAGUGCCUUGCAUGUGACCUAAUAAGUAGAGGUAAAAUUGUCAUUUGAAAUACUCAAAGCCUUAAAAUCUCGUCAAUCUUUGUUUUUCCUUCCUCCAAACUCUUCAAUCUUCGAUUUUCUUUCUCCAAAGCCCUAAAAUUCAAUCAUCAAAGGGUUGAGAGUUUGAUUUAAAAUAUGGAUUUCAAUGAUAGUUUUUUUUUUUAUAAACCCCUACACUGUUUUGCUUCAAUUUUGUCUUUGAUAGCUAAGAAAAUUUCAAGAAGAGAAUAAAUUUUGAGUGAUGAGGUGUUUAUAAGGGUUAGGGUUUUCUUUUGAUAGUUGAAAAAUUUUUGGACAUCAUCAAUUUUUUUUUUCAGACUUAUAAAAUAUAUAAUAAAUAUUUUUUAAAUAGCUUAACAAAUAUUUUUUUUGUUUUUUACUUACAAAAUAAUAAAUAUGCCGUACAUUAUUUGUCCUAUAUAUUAAAUAAUUUUUAAAUACCUCAUAAAAUAUUAUUAUUAUUAUUAUUAUUUUAACUUACAAAUUAGACUCAUAGUGUUUAUUAUUUGUCAUAUUAUUUUGAAAAUAAUGUAAACAAUCACAUGCACUUUAAGAUAUUCAAAAUUUCUCUAUUCCAAAAUUAUCUAACUGUUCAUCACACUAAUUCUAAAUAUUUUAAAAUAAAGAUUUUAUACUGUUUUGGUUUUGGAGAGUUUAUUUUAUAUGUUGUAUAUAUUUUAUAUAUUUUUUUUUUGUUGGGUAUAUAUAGAAUUGAACAUUUGAUAGUUUAAAAUUUUUGUUUUAAUAAAAGAAAUCGUUAAAUAAACAUGUUUUAAUAAAAUAAUAUUUCUAAAACAUUUUUCUUAAUAAAAGAAAGUUUUUUAUUAAUAAAAAUAAAAAAAAACGCUUUUAAGAAAAUCCAAAAAAAAAAAUUGUUUGUAAUGAAAUUUGAAAAAUUAUUUUUAAUAAUAAUUAUCAAAAAAAUUAUUUAUUUAAUAAAAAUUGUUCAAAAAAAUUAGUUUUUAAAUAAGAUUUUCCAAAAGAUUAUAUUUCAUAAAAAAUCGUACAAUUUUUUUUUUUUUUUACAAAUAAAUUCUAUUUCCUUACUUAUAAUAGGAUUAAAAGUAAUUUUUGUAAAUUACAAAUUUCAAAAUUUUGAACCGCCCUUUUAGAUUUCAAAAUUUGAAAUGAUUUACGCCGCUGUCCGCAACUUGCAAUUUCAAAAAUUUGAAAUUGUUUACUUUGCUUGGGUGCUCGUCCCUUCAAAUUUCAAAUUUGAACGUUUGCCCGCCUUUCAGCUUUCAAAAUUUCUCGCCCAUCAAAUUUCAACUUAGGGGUGCCCGCCUGCUUGCCCUUCAUUUCAUAAUUCCAUAAACAAUUGUCCUCAUCUUGGCUGUCCUUUCGUUGGUUUUUUUUGGAAGACACGGGGGAGAAGGUAGAGACAAAGGUUGACAGAGUAAGUGUAACGACCCGCACCCAACCAUGUAGAUAUUGUCCGCUUUGGGCCCAAGGGGGCCCUCACGGCUUUAAAACGCGUCUACUUGUUUAAGAAGAGUCUCUACAUAUAUAGCGUCAGGAACUUCCUCCCCUAUCCGAUGUGGGACAUCACAAAUACCCCCCCCCCCNNNNNNNNNNNNNNNNNNNNNNNNNNNNNNNNNNNNNNNNNNNNNNNNNNNNNNNNNNNNNNNNNNNNNNNNNNNNNNNNNNNNNNNNNNNNNNNNNNNNUUUUUUUGGAAAGACCCGGGGGGAAAGGGAGAAAAAAGGGUUAACAGAGUAAGGGUAACCCCCCCCCCCCCCCCAUGUGUUUUUUUUCCGCUUGGGGCCCAAGGGGGCCCCCCCGGUUUAAAAAGGGGUUUACUUUUUUAAAAGGGGUUCUUAAAUAUAAGGGGUCGGGAACUCCCCCCCCUUUUCGGAGGGGGGACUCCAAAAAUCCCCCCCCCCCCCCCCCCCCAUGCAGACACAACGUCCUCGUUGUGUCCCAUGGGAUUGUGGGGCCAAACAGACAAAGCCAAACAAACUCCCACACCGGGGUCAGGGAUCGGCUCUGAUACCACUCUGUCACGCCCAAGACCCACUCCAAGGGCAUGACGGUCAUUUCACACCUCAAACCCGAAGGCUUAAAGUAUAAUCUGACCCAAACAAUCAUAUUGUAACUGGAUGUUACCAAUUACCAAAUACCUGUUCAGAGUAGCAGAACAAAAUCUAAAAUCCUCAAAAUUCAAUUUCCAAAUAACUUCCAAAUAUCAAAUGAUCCAAAUGAACAUAACUAACAGUUAAACAAAAUCCAACAUAAAAUCUUAAGUCAANNNNNNNNNNNNNNNNNNNNNNNNNNNNNNNNNNNNNNNNNNNNNNNNNNNNNNNNNNNNNNNNNNNNNNNNNNNNNNNNNNNNNNNNNNNNNNNNNNNNACCCAACCAUGUAGAUAUUGUCCGCUUUGGGCCCAAGGGGGCCCUCACGGCUUUAAAACGCGUCUACUUGUUUAAGAAGAGUCUCUACAUAUAUAGCGUCAGGAACUUCCUCCCCUAUCCGAUGUGGGACAUCACAAAUACCCCCCCCCCCCCCCCCCCAUGCAGACACAACGUCCUCGUUGUGUCCCAUGGGAUUGUGGGGCCAAACAGACAAAGCCAAACAAACUCCCACACCGGGGUCAGGGAUCGGCUCUGAUACCACUCUGUCACGCCCAAGACCCACUCCAAGGGCAUGACGGUCAUUUCACACCUCAAACCCGAAGGCUUAAAGUAUAAUCUGACCCAAACAAUCAUAUUGUAACUGGAUGUUACCAAUUACCAAAUACCUGUUCAGAGUAGCAGAACAAAAUCUAAAAUCCUCAAAAUUCAAUUUCCAAAUAACUUCCAAAUAUCAAAUGAUCCAAAUGAACAUAACUAACAGUUAAACAAAAUCCAACAUAAAAUCUUAAGUCAAAUCCUAAUGAUGACCAUUCCUCAGCCUAGCCAUCACUCCUCACCCGAACUAAGAGUACCUGAAGAAUUUUCAACAAUUGGGAAUGAGCUCACAGCCUAAUAAGGAAUAUUAAUGCAGUUCAUGAAUCAAAUAUUUUCAUUUUAAAUAGGAGAUAUCAUUUUUUUUUUUUCAUCAAAUAUUAGAGUUUCAAAAAUACCAAUAUAUUCAAAAUUCAACCAACCAUUUUCAUAUCAAAUUCAAACACUUUCACAUAAGAUUCAAUCAAAUCCAUUCAAUUUUCAUUACUCUGGUUAUCAAAUAUCAAAUGCCCAAUUAGGUGGGACUUUUCAAAUGGGUGGCUAGCUUCAAAUUGUUCCUGGUGGACGGAACUAAACACUACUAGUACUAGUAACCUCUAACCAAACCCCUAGAGGCUGGGGUCCAAAUCAAUUACAUUCCCACCAUGAAAUGUAAAGGUCAACUAUUAUAUCCCGUUGACAGGGCCGAAUAGUCAACUAUUAUAUCCCGUUGACAAGGGCCAAAUAAACCAGAGUGAUGGUUUUGUUCAAGUAUUCAAAUUUACACAACAUAAUAUCUCCAUAUUUUGUGUCAUAAAUGAAACAAAAUAUUCCAACAUAACAUUUAGUGCAAAACAAUUUGAUCCAUGCAUGAUAACAAAAUAUCAUUUUCUUUUCCACAAUUCAAAAUAACGUAUAAAAUAAUUUAAUUUUAUAAAUAUUACAUUAACUUCCUUUACCUUAAAAGAAAUCCUCCAAAAACUUUGGAGAAAAAUAAUCCUGAAAAUCUACUCUUCACCUAACAAAACAUAAGAGAAACAAUUAUUACUAUUUAUUUAUAAUUUAACUAAUCUAUUCCUUAUUUAAAUAAACUAAUAAAUUCCCAAUUUAUUUCUAAUAACACAUUACUAAUUUAAUUAAAUUAUAAUUUUAUUUCAUUAUAAAAUUCUAUAUAUAUAUAUAUAUAUAUAUAUAUAUAUUUUGCUAAAUCUAUUAUUACUAUUAUCUUAAUUAUAAAUCUAAAACUAAAUAUUAUUAUUUUAAUUAACCAAUUCCAAAGCCACUCAACCUAUCUCGGGUACACCAAACCAAAAAGCAAGUUUUUUUUUUUUUUUCAUUGCCAUCAUGAUCCAUUAUAUAUAUAUAUAUAUAAAAGGGCUUCCUGGCGCACGCCUUUUUUUUUUUGUUCCAUGCUUCCAAUAACACAGUACACGUAUGCCCUUUUUUGUUUUUUUUUUUUUUUUAAUAAAAUUAACCCUAACCUAAAAUCGAAACCUUCCAAGAAAAUUUUUUUUUUCAUCUAAUAAAACUUAAGAUCUCCCAAAUUCAAAUACUAAAAUCAAAAUAUUAAAUUUUCACUAUUUGAUAUUAAAACGAAUUAAAAAAAAAUAAUCUAACCCUAAUCUAAAUUUGGGGUUUUCCAAAAAAAAAAUAUCUAAUAUGCUUGAAAUUAACUAAUGACUCUAAAAUAAUAAUCUAGGGGUUAGAAACUUACCUAUAGAGGUUUGUUCUUCAAACCUUAAAAUCUGACCUCAACUUCACGUUCUCUGGAAACUCUCUGCGAACAGGAAUACAAUUCAAAAAAGAACAGGAAGAAGAGAAUUUUCUAUUUAUACCUAGGGUAUUAAUCGUAAGGAGUGUUUGUCUGUUUGACCCCGCAAUCUCAUGGGACACAACGAGGACGUUGUGUCUGCAUGGGGGGUAUUUGUGAUGUCCCACAUCGGAUAGGGGAGGAAGUUCCUGACGCUAUAUAUGUAGAGACUCUUCUUAACCAAGUAGACGCGUUUUAAAGCCGUGAGGGCCCCCUUAGGCCCAAAGCGGACAAUAUCUACAUGGUUGGGUACGGGUCGUUACAAAUGGUAUCAGAGCUGAUCCCCAACCCCGGUGUGGGGGUUUGUUUGGCUUUGUCUGUUUGGCCCCGCAAUCCCAUGGGACAUAACGAGGACGUUGUGUCUCCAUGGGGCGGGGCGGGGGGGGGGGGGGGGGGGGGGGGGGUUUUUUUAUUCCCCCCCCCGAAAGGGGGGAAAGUUUUGGGGGGUUUUUUUUUUAAAACCCCCCUUUACCAAAAAAAACCCUUUUUAAACGGGGGGGGGCCCCUUGGGCCCAAAAGGAAAAAAAAUUAAAUGGGGGGGGGGGGGGGGUUUCCAAAAGGGGGGGAAAAAAGGACCCCAAAAAGGGGGGGAAAAGGGGGCUUUUUUUUGGAAAAAUUUUCCCCGGGUUUUUUUUUUUCCCCCCCCUUUUUAAAAAAUUUUUCCCCCCCUUUUUUUUUUUUUUUUUUUUUUUUUUAAAAAAAAAUUUUUUGGGGCUAACCGUUUUUUUUUUUUUGGUGCGGGGGAAAAAAAAAAAAAAAAAAAAAAAAAAAUUUUGUAUUUUUUGGGGGGGGGGGCCCCCCCUCAAAAGGGGGUUCUUUAAAAAAAUACCCCCCCCGGGGGCCCCUUUUUUGGGGGUUUUUUUNNNNNNNNNNNNNNNNNNNNNNNNNNNNNNNNNNNNNNNNNNNNNNNNNNNNNNNNNNNNNNNNNNNNNNNNNNNNNNNNNNNNNNNNNNNNNNNNNNNNAAAAAAAUAAAUCUACCCGUAAUCUAAAUGAGGGGGUUUCCCCAAAAAAAAAAUAUUUAUUAUGCGGGAAAAUUAAAUAAAGACUCUAAAAUAAUAAAUCUAGGGGUUAGAAAUUUACUUAUAGAGGUUUGUUUUUCAAAACAUUAAAAUAAGACCUCAAUUUCACUUUUUCUGGAAACUCUCUGCGAACAGGAAUACAAUUCAAAAAAGAACAGGAAGAAGAGAAUUUUCUAUUUAUACAUAGGGUAUUAAUCGUAAGGAGUGUUUUUCUGUUUGACCCCGCAAUCUCAUGGGACACAACGAGGACGGGGGGGGGGGGGGGGGGGUGUUUGUGAUAUCCCACAUCGGAUAGGGGAGCAAGUUCCUGGCGCUAUAUAUGUAGAGACUCCUCUUAACCAAGUAGACGCGUUUUAAAGCCGUGAGGGCCCCCUUGGGCCCAAAGCGGACAAUAUCUACAUGGUUGGGUGCGGGUCGUUACAGUAAGGGGGAGAAACAAGGAACCAGAGGAAGGAAGCAGAAGGCUAGCUUAUUCGGUAUACAUUUCCUCUGGUUCUUUUGUUCUCUCCCUCUGUUUAAUAUAAUUCUUACCUCAAUUUAAUUUAAUUCUUAUUGAUUUCUAUAAAUAUAUAUUUUAGGUCUAUACAGUUUCAUUUUUAUUGGUUCAUGUAAAUAUAUAUAUAUAUAUAUAUAUAUAUAUUGUAUAUUUUGUUGAGGUUGCCUGCCCUUCAUAUGAGGGUUCCGUUAACAAUUAUCCGCGUCCUGGACGUCCUUUGGUUGGUGUUUUUUUGGGAGACCGGGGCGGACCAGGAACGGAGAAAGAUUUACACAGUAAGAGAUAGAAACAGGAAAUCGGAGAAAGAAAGCAAUAGAGUAGGUUCAGUGCACAUUUUAUUUCUCUCAUCUAUCUCAUCUAAUUCUUAUUGAUUUCUAUAAACAUAUUUUUUUUAUAUAUAUUUUUAUUAGGUUUGUAUAGUUUCAAUUUGUUAGGUCUUGCUAGUUUUUGGUGAAGGAUAGCUUGCUCGAAGCCGCUUCAAGCAGUACUACUUGGGGGAACCUUUCCAGGUAUGGCGGCUGUACGCUUCUUUUUAUUUUUUAUGAAUUUGCUCCAUUUUAUGCCGAUUUUCUGGGUAUUUAAUUGAUGACUGAUGUGGAAAUUAAGUUUUAAAUGGUUGUUUUUACUGAAUCUGAAUUUGUUUUCAUACUUAACUCUGUUUUGGUUUUCUACUAAUACCUUUUAUUUUCCUCUAAAUACCUAACGUAUGGACUGUUCUUGGUUGGAUACUUGCUAAUCAUGCCACUGCUCUCUGCUUGUCCCACUUACGUUCAAGCACUUGGAUAACACAAUGAAAUGUGGCUUCCUCUAACUGUUUGUCUGUACCACUUUUGUGUUUUACUUUCUUCAUAUCAGAAGAUUAAAAUGAUUUUUGUGCCUUUUCUAUGAUAAAUGAAAAAUAAUUAUUCCCCUUUUUACCCCUAUUUGAUUCAGCGGAUGGUUUGUUUCACGUUCUAUUUUCCAGGGGACCUAAUAAGUUUGAAACUGUUUAUAAUGUUUUGUUUUUCGUAUUUUAGUAUCAACACACCCAACUCUCAUAUAAGGCGUUGCAAUUGAUAGAAUCAAAGGCUGGACAUGGAUCAAAUUGCUGGCCCAAGCAGUAGACGAGGUAUGAAAAGUGUUUGAAAAGUCUGUUUAAAAUUGUCAAGUUGGAAAUAUUUAGUUACCAAGAUAUGAUUAUGAGUUAUUAAAUGGCAAAAUGAAUAAAAAUUCGUAAUUUUGAGGUUUUUCUUUGAUACACUUAACCAUGUAACCUAUAUUUAUGAAAAUCAAAUAAAAUUGUUUGGAAUCUAUUAAACAUUAUGAUUAAAUAUAUUAUAGCUUUGUAUAAUAUAGAUCAACCCAGUUACUCACCAUGUAGCUUAUUAGGGUUUUUAUUUUAUUUAUUUAUUUAUUUAUUGUUAAUUUGAAUUAAAUUAAACUGCCAAAUGCAAUAUAAUUUAAGAUAUUUGUAAGCUCUAUUUGAUAGUAUUAGAGGUUUAUGUAACAUAUUUGUUAACUAAACUACCAAAUGAGGGAUAUUAUUAAUUAUUGCAUUAGGUUAUCUAAUUUAAACUGAUUAUUUUCUCAUGGUCUUGUAGGUUUAGGACAUUUUUAGAUUAUUAUGUCUUACUCUUUAUUUAAUAUUUAAAGGUGUUGCAUAAUUAAUCAAGAUGAGAGAGACAAGUCUUACUCUGUCCAAGAAGAAUUAAUUAGGAUCUAUCUUAUCGUUAAAUGGAUGUUAGGCUUUAAGCAAGAGGGGUGUUAGUAUUGAUUUUAAAGUACUCGUGAGUGAGUCGACGUUUUAGCAUUACCCCAUGCUCAAAGUAGAAUUCUAUGGAAUUCUAAAAUGUUUCUUUUUUAAGAGUUUUUUCUUUCUGGAAAAUCUUAGAUUUUCUUUUUAUAGGUAAAAAGAAAAUCUAAAAUUUAGAGGGUCAUCAGAAUGCACACGAAGCAUAUAAAAAACAUUUUUCGGUUAAGUCAAGGGGAAACAACAAAUACAAUUUGCCCUCGGCCUAAGCCUAAAGCAUAAAAGACCAAGAGAAAACAAAAACCUCGAGAUGACCUUCUUGUAUGCUUGUCGACCAAACUGGUUGCUGUGACCCAACCAUGACAAAAAGAUGAAACAAAAAAAAUGCAUCUUCUACCCUUGACUCUUUCUGAGGCCACAGUUUUUUGAGUUGCGCCAAGAUCCUUGCACUGAAGCCCACUGUCGGCAAGCCCAACGAGUCGGUGAAAGUUUUCGGGUUGCUUGAGGACGGAUUCGCCAUAGACACCCAUGCUCUAGAAACCCAGCCUGGACAUGACCCAUUUGCAUUCACUUGUUCUGAGAAACCGAAAAAUCCAUUUUAGGGGACCGUAAUCAUUUCCUAGAGAAUUAACAGAAAAAACCACCUCACAUCCCUUCGAAUCAAGACCAACCCCAUAAAAUGCAAAAGUUGCUCAUGUCUCCAAGGGAGAAAGAGAGAAAGAAAAAGUACCAGAAUGUCCUACCGCUACUUCCAUAAGGGCAAUUUCUCCAACUGCAGCAAGUGAAGUAGCACUCUCACGUUCUCAACAGCGCAUCUCUCCCGUGGCUUCACCGCUAUCCUCUAGACCAGAAAACGCAUAACUCGAAACGUCAGUAGAAAUAAAUGGUUGUACUUCCCACCACAAUUGAUGGAGAAGCAAGAGAAGUCAUCCACCGCCGUCAAUAUCCCAAGCAUCCUUCUCUCAUCUAAUCUUGCUAAAGCCACGCAAGUAUCCCUAAUCUUUUUUAACGUCUUCGGACUCCACAAGUGCAAAGGAAGCCUUACCACGCUAACCCACACUUCCUUGGCAUGCGCACCUUUUCGACAACAGUCUACCUCGAGGGACGACCUAUCCAAGCGCAAAACCAUUUCCUUAAACCUUUUUACACCACUUGGCAAAACAAUCUCUUUAUCACAGCCAUGAUCAUACUCGAACUAUAGAACAACACCCCUUAGCAAGAUAAUCCUUAUCACCCCUUAGAGACCAAUCAUGACCUACACAACUCCUGAACCCAAGAAAAUCUGGGGUUAGGUAUAGAAAAUCUACCCAUCUCCCUACUAGACAACUACUCAAUUUCUCUAUCCGGGUUGAACCUCCUCAUCAAACUGAAUCCAAAUUGUUUCAUUCACCAAAUCGUGCUCUUUAUAACCAAGUCUACAAUAAACCCCUUCAAUGGAUACACUGAACUAUCCAUGUUCAAAGACCUUGAGGUAGUUGGGUAUGGAAGCCUCAUUUCCUUUGACGAAACUACUCAGAGAAAGUGAAGUUUGUCGGCCGGGAUAGACCCUAUCCCCUAGGAUACUUGUCACGACCCAAAUUCCGGGCGACCCAAAAUUUGACCCAUGACCCCAGGUCAAAGGUUUGACCCUAAGAGUUCCUCCUAUUCCACGUUGGCAGUCAACCAAAACACUCUGGAUUUUUUUUUUAUAUACAUCUCACUAGAAUUCUCAUAAACCACAAUAUCCCAAAACUACUCAAAACAACAAGAUUAAAUAAAUAUUCAUUAGAGUCCAAAAUAAAAUUUCACAAUUAACACUUAAUCAAAAUAAAGCUUCAUAACAAAUCCAUGAGUCAUAAUUACUAAAACAAAUCCAUGAGUCAUAAUUACUAAAACACAAUAACAGAAAAUGUCACGUUCCACUAGGCCGCUCCAGGAGCAUCCUGAAGUCCUCCCUGCCCCACCUGUGGAUCCUCAAGAGAGAUAUCUGCAUCUAAAAAUGUGUAACAAGGAAGGGGUGAGCAUUUCCACAUUGCUCAGUAGGGUGCCUAACACCCAAGGGGUUAAGGGGAUUACUAAGUUUCAAAGAAUACGAAAAGAACACUUCAACACCAUAGGAACAAUUCAACAAUAUCAAUCAAACCACAUAGUUUAAUAUAUAAUUCUAUACACAAUUUCACAAUAUUCAACAAUUACAGGAAUGCACAUGAACGUGUGACACACAGUCAUACAAUGCACUAUUGUUCUCAGGCUUUCACCGAAUGAUACGCGUCCGCACCCAAAUACACUCCCCAUUCGGAGUUGAUUCGUCCCUAGCAGCGGCAGUGGCAAUGGCACCAUCUGAUUCGGGGUUCGAUCCCCGGCAACGGCGCCAUUUGAUUCGUGCCCAAUUGAUGUCUCAGCUGAUUCGUGUCUAGCUGGUGCUCCUUGAUUGAGGGAUUAAUCAACAAAAUUUAUAACCUAUUACACCAUAUACUAGGGUAGCAAAGACAAAGCUACUAUAGCAUAGUGGCUCUAGGAUCGUUCACUGGGAUGGGUUUUCACUUCACAAAUGAUAUUAAUUCAAAGUUGAAUUGGUGCCUUUUCAUUUCAAGGUUAGCUUUAAAAGAAAACAUAAAAAUGUUUGAAUGAAAAAGGUUUGGUUUUACACUAACCAAAAAUAGUAACUGAUUUUACUUACAAAGAAAAGUGUUUCUUGGAGUUCAGAUCACUAGGCUCAGGUUCCUCAUACAAAAAAGAGAGUUCCGGUCACUUGUUUCUUUUCCUCGCAUUAGAGAAUUAACAUAUAGUUCCUUCUCCAACCGGUGUUGUACAGAUGCUUCCCAUUAAUGGGUUCAAACACUAAAUCCCUCUCACUGAUGCACCUUGCAAUGACUCAUACCUCUCACCUAGCACUUGCCAUUCAAGGUGAUCUUUAACCUUGGAUUACCCGUCAAAAGCUCGCAAGAGAUAACUAAUGGAUGUCUCCUUGGAGUCCAAAAGCUUACCAAGUGUUGGCUAUUCUAGAAAAUCCUACCUUCAAGUCACCUCCCAAAGGCUCGCAAUGGGUAAACUAGUGCAUCUCCAUGGACGGAGAUCACUUGCCUUACCAAGUGUUGGCCCAGGUGAUUUAAAGGCGUUUUAAGUUAACUAAAAAGAUAAAAACCAUUAACGGGUUACACUUUCUCUUCAUUAAAAACUAAAACAACAAAACUUCCAAAUUAUGCAUGUGGAAACUUACCCGGCUUUCCUUACUCCAAGAGACAAAAAGCUUAGCCUCUCAUCCUCUUAGGAAAAAUCCUCAGAGUUUGGUUAGCUAGAAAUAAAAAGAAAUGAAAAAUCAAAGAGAAGGAAAAACAGAGCAAGGCUCUGUAUAUUCUAUAUAUUUAUCGAUAUGGAUUACAUGAUACUCUUACAGUGGAUGCAAGGGAAUAUAUAUAGAGACAUUUUUCCAACCUUCCCAACUAAGAAAUCUUAUGGUUGGUGGAUUACAAGGAGAAGAAUGGAAAUUCAUACAAAAAUAUCUGAAGAAAAAUAUCCCAAAGUGUCGGUCACAAAUAUCGGGGUGCUUCAGGAACCAUUUCGCAAGAGAAAAUGGUGUCUGCGAGAUUUCGCAGGCACUCAAGAAGGGUUGCGAAAUUACUUCGCAUCAACAAGCUGAACUCGCACCGCUGCGAAGUUGGAUUUCAUCUUGUGGUGUUUGGCUUCCAUCGCGACGUGAAACUUCAAGAGGAAUUUCAAAACACUGUACAAAAAGGCUGCGAAAUCAUCUCGCAACAAAAGGGUGAUUUCGCAACACUUUGCAAAUUUCUUCCUUCAGCUUGGAGUGAUUGACUUGCAGUGGCUGUAACUUCUUCGUUUCAACUCCAAAUUGCACACCGUUUGAAGCAUUGGAUUCUUGACUUCCUGAGCUUUGAAAUGGUAUAUAGAAUGUACAAAAUUGACUUCGGGAAGUGCUCCAAAAGUGCACAAGAAAACUGCAGCUGUUGUCCUAUGUUUUCUUCACUCUGUUUUUCCUCUCUCCUUGCUUCUCUCCUUGCAUACUUUGAACGACUUUGGCAAAGGGCUAUGGAGCUCCAAAGCUUGGUUCUUCAUUAAUUUGAGCUCUUCAUUGCUUUGCCAUGGAUUCCAAAUAACUCUCCUCAAUCCUGGAUUGUUUUGGUGAUCAAAUUACUAACAAAAACACCAAAACUUACACAAUUUGAUUAGAAAUGAUUGCAAGGGUCCUUAACAUGUUAAUUGGGUUAAAAGGCAAUAACUACUACUCAAAAGUGUUUAAAAGAGUUAAUUACAAGCUAUCAAAUAGCACUUUUUGAGUAGUAAUCAGUCUUCCUGGGGUAACUUUUGGGUCUUUCACCCUAGGGAUCUCUCUCCCUUCUUAAUUCGUCCCACACGACUUUCACUUCUCAUCACUAUUUCUUUUUUUUUUUUUUUUCCAUUUCAUACACUUUUCACAAUCUUCAUAAUUUUAUUUAUUUUCCACAUAACCAUGAUGCAAAUGAAUGCCACAAUUCCAAGGUUCCUCAAUAAUUCAACAAUUUCAACAUUCCCCAAUAAUCCAAUAAAAUAAUUUCACACAUUAAAAUUUCUGAUAAUAUCCCAAAUAAAUAUUCAAAAAUUUGCAUAUCAAAAAUCUUGAAAUUUUACCAUACUUACGGAAUUUUUCAACCAUUAUAAUAAUUUCUAAUAUUCGAAAUUAACUAACUUUCUAUCAUAAAAAUUCCAAAAAUUUUCUAACUAAUGCCUAAAAAUUCACCAAUUACUAUUUUUGAAAUUUAGCCCUAAUUUUGGAAUUUUUCAACCCUUCAAAUAAUUUUUUUACAAUUCAAAACAAUUAAUUAUCAAUCAAAAUCAAUUUCCCGCAAUUACAAAAAUUCCAAACAAAUUCCAAAUAUUCUAGAAAAAUUCAUACAAUCCCCAUAAUUCCUAAUUAACUCAUAAUGACAAUAUUUACAAUUUUUUUCAAGGGAAAAACAUAAAAAUUUAAGUUUUAAGGUUAGGGUCCCCUACCAAAGAUCUAAGAAUUCAGCUGCUAAAAAUACAAUUGGCCACUGUAUGAUUGUUCCCCUCGUCGAGUAGAACACACCCUCCAAAUCUGAGUUGAAACGGAGGUCGUUUGACCACCCAAACGACCGGUCAAAGCUCCGGCGAGGUGAGAUUUUCUAUAGUGCCGCUGCCCCUUUUCUCCCAGAUCUGCUACUGUUCCCUUCUUUUCCACUUAAGCCCAUUUCUUUUCAUUUUAAUCCACUUACCAAACAGCCCACUCAAGCCCAACCCAAGUUCAAAAUAAACCCAAUAACUAACUCCCAUUUUUCUUUUAAAACCCUAUUUCAUCCAAGCCCAAAUUACUCCAUUUUCAUUUUUUUUUUUCUUUUCUCUUUAUUUUUAUAAAACACACAAUUUAAUAUUUUUCUCAAUUUUUUAUUAAUAAGGAAUUUAAUUUAAUUAACUAUUAUUUUUUUUCUAAUUAAUUUUAAUUAAUUAACUUUUCAUUUUUGUUUUCGUUUUUUUUUCUUUUCCGGAAAUUCCCAAUUACUAAAAUCCUAAGAAAUUUCCACCCUAAGGCUGACAUGGCAUAAAAUUUUCAACUCACCUAAUUGACCAACACAAUAAACUGAAUUUCACCAAUCCAAAACUAACACCUGUUCUUCAGGCACUUUUCUUUUUGACUUUUCAACCAUCAUUUAAAAUAAGACUUUUCAAACUAAAAAUGCUAACGUGACAUAAAAUACCCGGUCAUUACAUCCUACCCCCCUAAAAGAAAUUUCGUCCCGAAAUUUAAACUAGCUUACCUUAAAAUUCAUAGAAGAGUUGCGAAUAGUGUCGUCUCAUUUCUUCCUCAGGUUCCCAAGUGGCUUCUUCUAUCCCAUGGUGUUGCCACCACACUUUGACUGCAGGAAUCACCUUGUUCCUAAACCUAUGCUCUCCAACUUCCAGAAUUCGUAAAGGUUCCUCCACAUAAGAAGUAUUUUCACUAAUCUGAACAUCUUGCAAAUCCACUACCCAAGUUGGAUCUGGAGUACACUUCCUUAGCAUUGACACAUGGAAAACAUCAUGCACAAGGGACAACUGUUGAGGCAAAAUUAACUUGUAUGCCACUGUGCCAACUCUCUUAUCAAUCUGAAAUGGUCCCACAAACCUAGGGGCUAACUUCCCCUUCUUCCCAAAUCGAAAUAUGCCUCUUCGAGGGGACACUUUUACAAACACCCAAUCCCCUUCCUCAAACUCCAAGGGUCUUCUCCUUUUGUCUGCAUAACUUUUCUGUCUAUCUUGGGCAGUCUUAAGUUUUUCCUUGAUGAGUUGUAUCUUCUCUGUAGUCUCUUAGACAAUCUCAGGUCCCAACAAACGACUUUCACCCAUCUCUAUCCAACACAAGGGCGACCUACAAGGUCUCCCAUAAAGUGCUUCAUAAGGUGCCAUGCCAAUACUAGAUUGGUAACUGUUGUUAUAAGCAAACUCUACUAAAGGUAAGUAAUCUGCCUAAUUUCCUCCAAAAUCCAAAACACAAGCCCUUAACAUGUUUUCUAAGAUCUGGAUCACUAUUUCUGAUUGACCAUCUGUCUGAGGGUGAAAAGCGGUGCUAAAAUUCAGUUGAGUGCCCAAAGCCCUUUGUAAACUCUGCCAAAAUUGAGAAGUAAACUUAGGGUCCCUGUCAGACACUAUAGAUACAGGUAUCCCAUGCAAUCUCACAAUCUCCUGUAUAUACAACUUAGCCAAAGAGUUCAUGGAAUCAGUAGUUUUCAUGGCUAGAAAAUGAGCUGACUUAGUAAGACGGUCCACAAUCACCCAAACUCCAUUUUUCUUGCUUUUAGUUCUUGGCAACCCUAUCACAAAGUCCAUAGUGAUAUUAUCCCACUUCCACUCAGGUAUAGGUAAAGGUUGCAACAAUCCUGCAGGCCUCUGGUGUUCAGCCUUCACUUGCUGACAAAUCUGACAAUUAGCUACAACCUGAGCAAUAUCUCUCUUCAUCCCACUCCACCAAAACUGUCUCUUUAAGUCUUGAUACAUCUUGGUAUUCCCAGGAUGGAUGGUAUACUUCGCCCUAUGAGCAUUUGCUAGAAGUUCAUUUCUCAACUCCACAUCUUUUGGCACACACAAUCUCCCUUUGAACCUCACACUCCCAUCUUCAUACAUAGACCAAUUUUCAUCUAUUUCACCUGCUACCAACUGGGCUUUAACCUUUUCUAAAAACUCAUCAUGAACUUGGGCCUCCACUAUUCUCUGGAUAACCAUUGGUCUAGCUGAUAUACUGUACAAGCAUGGACCAUGCCCUUCCAAACCAAGACAUAAUUCAAAAUCCUCAAUAACUGCAUGCAUCUCAAACUCUCUCAACUCCAAGCUAGACAACUGGCCAACACUCUUCCUACUCAAGGCAUCUGCUACAACAUUCACCUUUCUUGGAUGAUAAUGAAGAGCAAAAUCAUAAUCUUCCAAUGUCUCCAUCCAUCUCCUUUGCCUAGAGUUCAGAUCCUUUUGAGUGAAAAUAUAUUUCAAACUCUUGUGAUCAGAGUACACCUCAAACUUCUCUCCAUACAAAUAGUGUCUCCAAGUCUUAAGGGCAAACACCACUACUGCAAGCUCCAAAUCAUGUGUUGGAUAAUUCCGCUCAUGCUGCUUUAACUGUCUUGAGGCAUAAGCUACCACCUUGCCUUGCUGCAUUAGCACACACCCUAGCCCCACUGUGGAAGCAUCACAAUAAAUUGUAAACAACUCUCCACUAAUAGGAGCAGUUAACACUAGAGCAGUGGUCAAUUUCCGCUUCAACUCCUGGAAAGCAUUCUCAUACUCCUCAUUCCAAUCAAACUUCACCCCAUUUCUAGUCAACCGAGUCAUUGGUACUGCAAUUCUAGAGAAGUCUUCCACAAACCUCCUAUAAUAUCCAGCCAACCCCAAGAAACUUCUAACCUCAAAUACAUUGGUAGGCCUUUGCCACUCCUAAACAGCUUCCACCUUGGAAUGGUCUACUGCUAUUCCUGCCUCAGAAACCACAUGGCCUAAGAAAUUCACUUCAGUAAGCCAAAACUCACUUUUUUCCAACUUCCCAUACAACUGAUGUCUUCUUAAAGUUUUAAGAGUGGUCACCAAAUGCUGUUUAUGCUCCUCCAAACUCCUAGAGUAAAUCAAAAUGUCAUCCACAAACACAAUCACAAACUGAUCUAAGUAAGCAUGAAAUACUCUGUUCAUUAAAUCCAUGAAAGCAGCGGGGGCAUUAGUUNNNNNNNNNNNNNNNNNNNNNNNNNNNNNNNNNNNNNNNNNNNNNNNNNNNNNNNNNNNNNNNNNNNNNNNNNNNNNNNNNNNNNNNNNNNNNNNNNNNNUUAGUGUGCCAUCCUUCUUCUUCACAAACAACACUGGGGCUCCCCAUGGCGACGUACUCGGACGAAUAAAACCUUUACCCAACAAUUCAUCCAACUGAGUUUUCAAUUCCUUCAACUCAAGAGGGGCCAUCCUAUAAGGGGAUACUGAAAUAGGAUCAGUUCCUGGGAAUACUUCAAUAAAGAAAUCAAAUUCUCUAUGAGGUGGUAAACCUGGAAACUCAUCUGGGAAUACAUCUUGAAACUUUCUCACCACUGGAAUUUCUGCAAUGUCCUUCUAGGCUUUCUCCUUACCACGAAGGUAAGCUAGGAAAUUUAUUGAUCCCUUCCUCAACACAUACUGAUAGCACGGAUUGGAUUGCGAAAAAAGCAAACUAACACACUUUCCUCCAACAAAGCAAACCUCAAAUCCCUCUGGCAGACAAAAUAUUAUCCUGCGGCGAUGACAAUCAAUAAUUGCUCUAUACACUGCCAACCAAUCCAUUCCCAAGAUAACAUCAUACCCAGUCAUAUCUAAAAUCCUCAAAUCCACAUUAAGUGCUAUAUCCACCAAGGUAAUAACGCACCCCUUGCAUAUUCUAUCAACUUUAGAGUUCGUACCCAUAGGGGAUUCAAUAAGUAACAAAUUCUCUACCCUUUCUGAUUUCAACCCUGAUGCAUUAGCACAAGAUAUAGAAAUGAAAGAAUGAGUUGCACCAGUAUCAAACAAAACAUGCACCCAAGUACUAUAUACCAAAAUCAUACCUUCCACCAAGAGAGCGUCCUCCUCUGACUCUGUUGGGGUCAAGGCAAAAACUCUCCCAGCUGUCUGCCUUCCCCUACCUCUAGCAUUCGACCCCUGAGAAGAGCGGGUCUGACUCGUGGUAGCUGUCCUAGUUCCCUGUGCUGCUGGGGGUAAUUGUGGCAUCUGAUAGUAAGGCAACUGAAACUGAGGGGGCUGGAAAGGCACUACUGACUGUUAUUGAGAACUUCCCUGAGACUGAGGUCGAGCCUGCUGUGCACCUUGCACUGGGCAAGCCCUCCAUAAAUGGUCUCCUGCUCCACAACCAUAACAUACUCUAUUAGCAGCUGCCCUCUGAGCAAUCUGCCCCCCUCCUGCAUAGAACGAGGGACGCCUCUCAAACUGCUAAGUCCUCUGCCUCUGCUGUGGCCCUUGGGAACUUUCCCUCAUUCUUUGUUUCCCUUUUCUGUCCCCCUUUUGCUCUCGAAUUUGGUUAGUUUCGUCAAUGUCCUGCUCCACCAACAAAGCCCUCUUAACCAACUCAGAAUAGUCCCUUAUUGCCAAUGGGACUAAUCUAUUCCUAAUAGCAGGCCUCAACCCCUGCUGGAACCUUCUAGCCUUUUCUCCUUCCUCCCCGAUCAUCCCCAAAGCAAAUCUAGACAACUCCGAAAAGCGUGACUCGUACUCCAGCACCGACAUGGUUCCCUGGAUGAGGUGCUCAAACUCCAUCCUCUUGGCAUGCUUAGCCACCUCCCCAAAAUACUUGCCUAGGAAGAUUCUCUCAAAUUCCUCCCAGGUCAUAACCUCAGUGUCAUACACCCUUUUCAUUGAUUCCCACCAGAAAUCAGCUUUAUCAACAAGCAUAUAUGUUGCUAGACCUACCCUUCUUUCCUCAGGUAUGUCCAGUCCCACCAGAAUUCUUCUCAUCCUCCUCAACCAAUGCUCAGUUGCUUCAGCAUUGGGCUCUCCAUUAAAAGAUGGAGGUUGCAUCACCAUGAACCUCUUUAUUGCUUCCAUUUGGCUCAUUACUGGCCUCUCAGUGCGGUUCCUCCUAUGUGAGUGGCCUGAAUCCUCAUGGCCCUGGGUACCUCCUGAUCUCCUGGAACCCUGGCCUCUCAUCAAUUCAACAGUUUCUCUCAACUCUCUUCUUACUUCUCGGAGUUCUUCUCUUACCGUCUCCAACUCCUCAUUCCUCUCUGAUCUUCCUCCUCUGGUCCUUCCCGCCAUUUCAAGUUUAACAAACCCUAAUUCAAUCACAUUACUAAGGUGAGCAAAAAUAAAUUUCACAUAUACACACUUAGCAACUUCAACAAUUAUCAAAACUUUCACUUUCAUACACUCAUAAUACAUAAUUCAAUUAAUCAUCAACUAGUUAAUUAACACAUACAAAAAUCAUAACAUUACAACACACAUAAACACCCAAGGUAUUAUUGCAACCUUGGCUCUGAUACCACGCUGUCACGACCCUAAUUCCGGGCUACCCAAAAUUUGACCCGUGACCCCAGGUCAAAGGUUUGACACUAAGGGUUCCUCCUAUUCCAUGUUGGCAGUCAACCAAAACACUUUGGAUUUUUUUUUUUUUUAUAUAUACAUCCCACUAGAAUUCUCAUAAACCACAAUAUCCCAAAACUACUCAAAACAACAAAAUUAAAUAAAUAUUCAUUAUAGUCCAAAAUAAAAUUUCACAAUUAACACUUAAUCAAAAUAAAGCUUCAUAACAAAUCCAUGAGUCAUAAUUACUAAAACAAAUCCCAAAAUCCAAACAAAAAACACAAUAACAGAAAAUGUCACGCUCCACUAGGCCGCUCUAGGAGCAUCCUGAAGUCCUCCCUGCCCCACCUGUGGAUCCUCAAGAGAGAUAUCUGCAUCUAAAAAUGUGUAACAAGGAAGGGGUGAGCAUUUUCACAUUGCUCAAUAGGGUGCCUAACACCCAAGGGGUUAAGGGGAUUACUAAGUUUCAAAGAAUACGAAAAGAACACUUCAACACCACAGGAACAAUUCAAAAAUAUCAAUCAAACCACAUAGUUUAAUAUAUAAUUUUAUAUACAAUUUCACAAUAUUCAACAAUUACAGGAAUGCACAUGAACGUGUGACACACAGUCAUACAAUGCACUAUUGUUCUCAGGCUUUCACCGAAGGAUACGCGUCCGCACCCAAAUACACUCCCCAUUCGGAGUCUUCCCGGGGUAACUUUUGGGUCUUUCACCCUAGGGAUCUCUCUCCCUUCUUAAUUCGCCCCACACGACUUUCACUUCUCAUCACUAUUUUUUUUUUUUCCAUUUCAUACACUUUUCACAAUCUUCAUAAUUUUAUUUAUUUUCCACAUAACCAUGAUGCAAAUGAAUGCCACAAUUCCAAGGUUCCUCAAUAAUUCAACAAUUUCAACAUUCCCCAAUAAUCCAAUAAAAUAAUUUCACACAUUAAAAUUUCUGAUAAUAUCCCAAAUAAAUAUUCAAAAAUUUGCAUAUCAAAAAUCUUGAAAUUUUACCAUACUUACGGAAUUUUUUAACCAUUAUAAUAAUUUCUAAUAUUUGAAAUUAACUAACUUUCUAUCAUAAAAAUUCCAAAAAUUUUCUAACUAAUGCCUAAAAAUUCACCAAUCACUAUUUUUGAAAUUUAGCCCUAAUUUUGGAAUUUUUCAACCCUUCCAAUAAUUUUUUUACAAUUCAAAACAAUUAAUUAUCAAUCAAAAUCAAUUUCCCGCAAUUACAAAAAUUCCAAACAAAUUCCAAAUAUUCUAGAAAAAUUCAUACAAUCCCCAUAAUUCCUAAUUAACUCAUAAUGACAAUAUUUACAAUUUUUUUUCAAGGGAAAAACAUAAAAAUUUAAGUUUUAGGGUUAGGGUCCCCUACCAUAGAUCUAAGAAUUCAGCCGCUAAAAAUAUGAUUGGCCAUCGUAGGAUUGUUCCUCUCGUCGAGUAGAACACCCCCUCCAAAUCUGAGUUGAAACGGAGGUCGUUUGACCACCCAAACGACCCGUCAAAGCUCCGGCGAGGUGAGAUUUUCUAUAGUGCCGCCGCCCCUUUUCUCCCAGAUCUGCUACUGUUCCCUUCUUUUCCACUUAAGCCCAUUUCUUUUCAUUUUAAUCCACUUACCAAACAGCCCACUCAAGCCCAUUUCGUUUCCUCUUAAACAGCCCACUCAAGCCCAACCCAAGUUCAAAAUAAGCCCAAUAACUAACUCCCAUUUUUCUUUUAAAACCCUAUUUCAUCCAAACCCAAAUUACUCCCUUUUCAUUUUUUUUUUAUUUUCUCUUUAUUUUUAUAAAACACACAAUUUAAUAUUUUUCUCAAUUUUUUAUUAAUAAGGAAUUUAAUUUAAUUAACUUUUUUUUUUCUAAUUAAUUUUAAUUAAUUAACUUUUCAUUUUUGUUUUCGUUUUUUUUUUCUUUUCCGAAAAUUCCCAAUUACUAAAAUCCUAAGAAAUUUCCACCCUAAGGCUGACAUGACAUAAAAUUUUCAACUCACCUAAUUGACCAACACAAUAAACCGAAUUUCACCAAUCCAAAACUAACACGUGUUCUUCAGGCACUUUUCUUUUUGACUUUUCAACCAUCAUUCAAAAUAAGACUUUUCAAACUAAAAAUGCUAACGUGGCAUAAAAUACCCAGUCAUUACAAUACUUCUUCCUUGAGGGAAGCUCAAGGUGAACCUUUUAGUCUCCACACAACAAAUCAAGCAAAUAAUGAACCCAUCUGCCUCAUAAGAGCUUAGUUCCAGUGUAAACUCUGUCUCGUCUUCCACCCAUGUUUUGUUGCACAAAUUUUCAUCCUCAGACCUAUAACAAGCUUCCACAUCUUCCAACAAACAACACAAGUUCCUUUUCCCACACCUGAUCCACCUGGACACACCUCUGCAUCUCUCCAAAAUUCUCUUUUAGUUUCCCUCCAAACGUCUCUAUUAAGAUAUCAAAUGACUUUGAUCCUAUUGCAAAACAACACCUACCAUUUCUCGUCUCUCAUUGUAUAUUGUCUGGGAAGAGUAUAAAUGUGGAAAGCGUUUUUUGCUUGUCCCACAUAGGAAAAAGUGGAACACUUUUAGUGGGUUUAUGCCCACUCGCCUUAGCCUAAUGGGCCUUUGAGUGGGAAAAGCUCGCAUGCUCAUGGGGUCGAAUCCCAUUUGAGUGGGUUUUUAAUGUUCACUUUCUCUCCUCCUUCCUUCCUGUGUACGGGUGCGUUAUUCGCUAAUUUUUAUUUGUUACUCUUUUACUUUUUGUCAACUCUUUGGGAAGAACCCUAGAGUUCCAAUGAGAUUGUACUAGUAGAUGUCUUGUAACAUUUACAACUAGACUCUUGUUCUAUUUACAAGUAGAGUCUUAUUCGGAAUGUCAUGCAUUCGAGUAAGAGCAUUUGCCUUUCUUCUCUAUGUAAAUAAAAGGUUGGAAUGAUUUCAAGACCCUCAACAAAAGAAUGGAUUAAGGUGACAUUUUUAUUCGCUAUGAAAAAUAGUUUUGUUGUUUUUUUUUUUUUUUGUUUUUGUCGCUAAUAAAUUUUGCUCAUUAAGUUCUUGUUUGAUGUGCCCUUGUUAGAACACUAUAAUAGUUGUUCUUUUUGGGUUAAUGGUCUCAAUCAUGAAUUGAUAAAAUUUCAUAUCCUUUUUCUUUUGGAUUCCAAGCUCGGUUUUUUCUUAAUCAUUGUGGAAGACGAAGCGGUUCGCUAGCCUCUACAUCUAUAGAUCCUACGUAAUAAUUAAACUUGGUGGUGGCUCGUUGUUUGAUGAGUGAUUCCUUGAUCACUAGAUCUCGAGAUUCCACCUUAUUCUUGGUUGAUUGGCAUUCUUGUAAGCUAAUCUUGCAUACUAAUUCUAGGGGUCCUAGGUGAUGCACCAACCAAAGAAUGUUUAUUCCCUUAGCCAUAAAACAUGAGAUUGGCAAUGCUUGUUGCUCAUUAGUCUGUCAUUAAUAAGAUUUCUAGCUAUUGUUUUUAUUUCACUUACAAGUAAAGUCUUGUUCUAUGUUAGUGACAUAUAAAACUAAGACACUCCUCACUUUCCAAACACCAAUUUUUUGAAGAGUUUUUCAUAGCACUUUUCAUACAUCUAUGUAGAGGAAAUUUUCAAAGCUUAAGCUAUCCAUGACCUUUCUAAAAAGUGCACGCCCAGUGAGAUUCACUAGCAUUAAAUCUUGGAGGUAUAAUAUUAAUACCUUAAUACAUUGGGUUUGUCUUUGAGAUGGUUGGAUUUUUUUCAAGGAUAGAGCUUGUCAUGCCUUAGCUCAUAACCAAUAAGUUUUCUUGUUAUUCGUUUUAUUCUUUUUGUGUUUUUUACGUAAGUCCUUUGUUUUCAUACCCUUGGUAAACUUUUUAGCAAUGUUUUAUUUUGAAUACCAUAAGUUCUUCUCCCAUUCUCUUUACUGCAAACUUUGACAAAAAAAAAAAGGUUUUGCCCAAACUUUUAGAAGUUUUCUAUUUCAUUCCUAGGUGUGUGAGAGAGAUUUGUAACUCUCAAGUAAGAUUUAGGGAUAAGAGCUAUCAUGAGAAUUUGUACACUAAUGGUUUUAUAGUGGACUUAAGUUUUGUGAUGUCUGGUAGUUUUUACAUUGGCAUAAUCUUUUGGACAACUUUAAAUUAAUAUUCUCAUAAACUUUAUUAUCAUAAAUAUUUUGGGCUAAAGGGAAGUAAAUGCUGUAAAAAAUGUUAGUGUUGCACAAUUUAUUUUACUAUAACUGUAAGUAACUGAUUUAUUUUACUUAAUGUGAAUAUAAUGGGGCUCACGGUUGCCAUUUUGGAUAUGUUGGUUCUAUGAUAGUAAGGUUAGGAAGGCAACCAAAUAAUGAUGUCUCAAACAAAAAAUGUUCAAAAUUAUAUCAUGCCUUGUUUAAUUUAUAAAAAUAAAUAAGUAAAUGUGUUUUUAUGUUAGCUAUAUUGAAACGGUAAUCAAGAUAUGGAAUUAGUCUCUUGGACGGACUAUAAUGUAAAACCAAAGACAAUUCUAAUAGAAAAAGCACUGUCACAUUCCAAUCAAAAUUUGAACACUCCAUCCGCAAAUGAAAAGCUAACAUGUCCCAAGAUUAUAAAGUCAUUAUUGGUUUCGGAUGCCAAUGGUUCUAAGCCUUGUGUCUUCCCUAUAAACUAAAAUUGAUGUCUUUUAGUCCUUACUAUGUGACAAUCCCAGUCUUGUGCAUGGAGAAAGGAUCAAGCUUCAAUUGGUAGCACGGUUUGUAGAGGUGUAUGCGCAACUUGCAGAUGAGAUCGUACUCUUAUGGGUGGAAUAGCGCAUAGUGUUGCUGGUUGAUCUGCCAGUGAACUAGCUUGUAGAAUCACGAGUGUUGAUAGUCAAUCUAUCGUACAACCUGAAUCUCUUUAAGCUAAUAAUCUUAUGGCUUUUUAUGAUAUUACGCUGGUGGAGAAAUAUUUUGUUUAAGAAUUCAAUAUGAUGUUUCUAGUGGAUUGGUGUGCUUGAAUGUUGUGCAUUGUCAAUGUUUGCUUUAAUUGUCGUAAUUGGAGUGAAUUUUGGGGAAUCAGAUAGUAAGAAAUGAGCCUUUUGCAUGGGAAGGCAAUGCUGCUGGAGAACCAAAUUUCCUUUGAAGUUAGCGAUAGAGUGAUAGUGGUGUUUUCAUUCUUGCAAAAAUUGAAGAAUUUUUGGUUUGUCGUGAUCAUGCAAAUUAUUAAUGGGAAACAUAAUCGAAAGCUUGAUGGAAGGUGGAUGCCAACCAAUGGUGGAUAGUAGGGACCAAAUGAUUGUGAUGUGUAUAGGUAUAAGCAUCUGCUUGAUCUAUACCAAAGUAUAAAAUUGAUGGUAUAGGAUCAUUCGGAGAUUUGGUCCUAGAGUUUAUGGUCUUAUCAUUUGAAGAUGAAAACGACCAGUUGUGGUCGUUGGAAUCUACAUGAAGCAUAGUCCUACAAGUUAUUAUUUUAACAUUAUUAAGUUAUUAAUGAAUAAAAUAUUUAUUUAUAAUAUUUUCUGUAUAUCAAUUUAUAUUUGUUGAAAUAAUAUUAGAUUUUUUAGCUUAAAAAAAAUGUAGUCACAAUUGUGAAGUGAGGGUUUAGUUAAAAAAAUGGAGUCUCUAUUAACAAUUGUGGUUUCAAUUAAAAAAUGAAGACUCGUUGUCAGUACGGUUUUAAAAAUUGAAUUGGAUUGGUUGGUUGGAAUGUCGGUCAAUUUGAAUGGUUCAAACGUCCUUCGGUCGCCGUUUUGUUUGGUUCAAACGUCCUUCGGUCGCCAUUUUGUCUAGUUCGGUCAUUUAAGAAGGAAAGUGUUUGAAGCAGAAUUAGGCUAGUUAAAUUGGUGGUUGGAUCAUCGAAUAAAUCAAAGGGUUCCCUUCGAAUCGUACGAGUGAAUAUUUUUUUGUUUUUUUUCCAUUGUUGUCGUCUCUCGUCAGUUGGACCCCCACCUUGCGCUGGAAAAGCCCCCUCUUGCCGUCCCCGUUGCUAGAAAAGCACUUUGUGUUGCAAAGUCACCACCCUCGUGACGUUGUUGAGACCUCGCACCCCACGCCUCAUCUUAUUGUUCCUCGCCAACAGAACCCCCACCACCCUGUAAAGCCGUUGCCAUCUUCACCCUGGAAACCCCAUCCUCUAGGAGAGAAGGAAUUCUUAAAAGGAGAGUUUAUAGAGAGGGGAGAGGAGGGGGGAGAGAGAGAGAAGAAGCGUGCAGUGACAGCACAGAGAUUUUGUAUCAGACGGAGUAGAAAUGAGGGAGGUGAGUUCACUUUUCAAAUAUUAAAUUUAAUUUUCUCAUUCUUGUCUUCAAUAUACGUGUUAUUAUAUUUUGUAUCUUGAUUUUACAAAACAUUAUUCAGUUACAGAAAGAGAAAUGGGAAAAGUUUUAUUAUUAACACAAGUUUCAUUUGUUACAUCUAAUAUAUUUUUUAUACAUGGCUUAUUUUGACUAAAAACUCCCUUGAAACAGUGUAGAGAUAUCUAGCGGUAUUCUUUCUGACUAUCUCAUUCUCCUCGUAACAAAUAACAAUGGCAGGGAACAUGGUCAUCCUUCAAAUGGAGGAGCAGUGGGAAUCAUUCCCGGUUGGUAGUGAUCAUAUGAGAGCCUUGAUUGAUUUAAAAUCCAGAUUUCAUCGACUAGAACUUGAAGUGGAAUCUGAAUCUUCGUUAUCAUCAAGUGUAAAGCUGCAAUGUCCUAAAUUGGAACAUAGAUUUGGUUGAGUUAUCAAUGGUGAUGGGAGGAAUUCUCAGGCAUGCGGUGGUCUCAUUUAAACUUAAAGAAAUGUCCCUCAUGUGACAUGUAAGACUGCGCUUGAUGCGGAUUCCAACGUCCAUCAAUUCCUUCUCAUUUCUAAAUGAUGUCAUAACCUCUCUGACAUCUCUAAUUGAUGCAUAUCUAGCAUACAACCAAUCCAACUAUCCAAUAACGAAGGACCUUCCAAAUUUUUCAUUUUAACGAUGCGUUGGGCUGCUAGAAUGUUCAUCACCUAGGAUAAUUCUUCGGAAGAGAUCGAGUAGACGAUGACAAGGCUUUGACUCGUUCUUAGGACUUUGCGACUUCAAUUUGGGGCCAAUAAUUUUGUUGUAUGGGAAGAACAGGCUGGGGUAAUAAUUCUUCAUUUUUUGCAGCAAGGACUCCCUCGUACCUAUAAAUUCCUGUAAUAUUGACUCGUCGUUAAUGCCGAAGAAUUCCUGGAACACUGGCAUCCAAAAAAAACCCACCGCUCCUGAACUCACCUUCUUCAUCAGCUUCAAAAAAUAAUUUUUAAAUAUAAAGUUAAAUAGAUAACUUAUUCUUAAUCUUAAACAUAUUUUCUUUCAUUUGUCCAUAUUUAAUAAAAACAUAUUUUAUAACUAUGACUUUACAUCCAUAAAUUAUUUUUUUAUACAACAUAUUAUAUAAUUAUGUUAUACAUUUAAAAUACUUUAAACAUAGAUAUUUAACAAAUACAUUUAUAACUUAAGAUGAAUAAAAGUAAAUAUAAGUUUAAAUUAAUGAACAAAUAUUAUUUAAAAUUAAUGAGAAUAAAUACGAUUAAUUUAAUUAUUUAAAAUAAAUUUUAAGUUAAUUUUAUUCAAUAAUCUUAAUAUUUAAAUUUAAAAAUAAGUUUUAAGUCAAUAUUAACUUAAAUUGUUAAGUAAUAGUAAUAAGUUUUACCCAACAUCUUUUUAAUUAUUGAAUUCAUAUUUCUUUUAUCAUUUCUCUUAUCCAAUUAAAAUUAUUAGAAAUCCAUCCAUUUAUGUUUUCUAUUUAAUCUCUUUAGCAAACUCGUCAUGUUUGAGUAGUUAAAUUAAAUCUUAUGUUUCCUCUCUCUUUGGGAUUUGAGAAAAAAAAAUCGAUAAUUUUAAAAAACAUUUAUUAAAAUAUGAUAGUUUUAAAAAUAUUUUAAAAUUUAUAAUAGCAAAGCAAAAAUCCAAUUGGAAAUAUUUUUGAAGCACCAUAUUUUAAUAAAUAUUAAAAAAUGGUUUUUUUUUUCCCCUCAAAAUCCCCAUCUUGGCUCUUGAGCAUUGCCCUCCCACUUCUAGUUAAUUUGUAACCACAUGUUUCAAUUUUGUUUAUUGAUGAGACAUUUCAAUAAUAUCCGAAUUGCCUUCACAGGUUUGGACGUUUCUUUGCCUUGUAUCUCGGCUAAGGAUAAUCUAGUUUUUUCUUAUCAUGUAUCACGUAAUGUUAUGGGAAAUUGUCUUAAACAAAAAUAUUGUUCAACAUUUAAUAUCCAUUAGACUUAAUUUCAUUCACCUUCCCUUAGAUUUUUGUUAAUACAUUUUAUUCUUAUAAAUUAAAAUUUCAUCAAAUAUAUAUUUUAUUUCUUUUUAUUUUUUAUUUUCACUCACCUUCUUUCUCAUUUAAAAUAAAUAAAGUAUUUGAUAAAAUUUCAAACUUAUAAAUACCAGAUAAAACUAGUCAAAACCUCAAGAAAAUGAAAUUAACUCAAUCCCAUUGUAAAUUCUCGUAUGAUUAAAUAUUAAGAUGAAUACGACAUAUCUUUAAGAUGAGUAUAAAUAAAUAUAAUAUCAAAUUAUAUAUAAAAAGGAUAGUUUAAAUUAAAUAAUCAAUUUAAUUUUCAAAUAAAAUGAUUAAUGUCAUUUUAACAUAUACGUGAUAUCGACUCCUACAUGUAUGGUUUAAUUUAAUGUUACCCACAUAGCUAUUCCAAAAUUAAAAUUUUUACUUACCCCUACGAUGUUAAGGCGGAGUAAUUGAUCAUACAAUGCAUAAUAAUUAUUUUCUUCAUUAGAUUAAAUAAUACAAAUUACAUAUACGAAUGAGAUUAUUUAGAUGGGAUUUCUAAUUAAUGAUCCAGCUUAGGUGUGAACUUAAAUUAUGUGUUUGUUGGAAACCCUUGUGAUGGAAUAAAAUUUCAUCCUUUUAUACUUGUAUUUAUUUUUUUUGAAGAACAAGUUUGACUUUUCCUUUAUAAUAAACAUUAAGUCUUUUUUUAAAGGGUAAAUAAGACUUUAAUAAUGUUAAUUGUUAAGUGAAGUGUGAACAUCUCCUCCAUGUGAACAACUGGAGCAUCUUUUACCUACAACUUAUAUGUAUUGUCUCGUUGUUCACAUGAAACAAUAAAUAGUGUAAGUCAAAUUCUCAUUACAAAUAUAAAAUUGCAUUAAUUCUCUAUUAUUAUUAAUCUUGGAUAUUGCACCAACAAAAACUGAGAUUAUAAUUAAAUAAAUCCAAAUCAGACAGCACUGAGCCUCUUUGUUGUCAUUUUUUUCAACCUUGGUGCCAAUCAUAAGUCCGGUAUUAAUUUAAUCAUGAUAUGAUCUUGAUUCAUUGAUUACAAUAUAGUUUAUUUGUGGUAGAAUUUUGGGAAAAUUAAUAUAAAAAAUAUGUGAGGAGGAAUCUUUUAUGGAUGGUUCAGGGAGAAGAGGCAAAUGAAGAUGUCCCAGAAAUGAAUUGGUGAUCAAAUAAUCCAAGAAAAAAAGCAUCAAAUCUAUGAUAUGUAUAAUGAAAGAUGUAUUUAAGUAAAUAAAUAAGCUCGUGUUAGGCAUGAACCCUUCCCAAAACCAAGGAGACACGCAUUAGCCUAUUUUAUGUGCUUCACUUGCUGUAUAUUAGUAGGUGUAUGAAUAGAUUAAUCUUUCUGAAGAAAAAAAAAAAAGAAAGAGAAGAAGACUUGAGUGCUCCUUUUUAAAUGACUUUCCCUUUGGAUAUCGUUAUAUCAACAAGGACUAGCUGACAGCAGCCUGUUGCUUACUCGAUUGGAAUUAUGGAGCUUGCAUGCAAUGAGCUGGUGAUUCAUAUUUCACAGGUCUGAUGUGGAUGAACUUUUUUCUUUCUUUUCUUUUAAUAAAUGAUAAGAAUAUCUCACUUAUAAAACAAAAAGAGAAAAUUAGACUAUGCGUGGAAACUAUUCUCAACAAUAAUUUUUUGUUUUUUAAACAUAAAAAAAAAAAUAUGAAAACACAUUUGCCUGUAAUUAUUUCUAAAAUAGGUUACUGAUGAUAUCUUUUAAUUAUUUUUGGUUAAUUUUAUUUUUUAUUUAGAGCUAUUUUUAAAUGUAAUUUUAGAAAUAUGAAAAAUGAUUAAAAUAUAUAAAAGGGUACAUAAAAGAAUAUUUUGAAAACAUAGAAAAUAAAUUGACAAUAUUUAAAAUUACCAAAGAAGCUUUUAUUAUACCAUCGUAAAAUUAUUUUUGAUAAUUAAUCUCAAAAACCAUCUUUUUAUAACUAUUUUGAAAAAUAUUCUCUAAUUAACAAACCUUAUGCUUUUAAGGAGGAUAAGGUAAAAUUUUAAUAAAAAAUAUAAAAUAUGAAUAUUAAUAUUUUAGUAAAGUUAUAAAUUAUAUUUUUUUUAUUAAAAAUAAAUAUUUUUUUUAGAAAAUGAUAAUAGUUAAUAAUAUCUUAUUUAAACUGAAUUAUGAAAAUAAGUAUAAUUUAUUUUUCAAAAUAAGCAAUAAAUUAAUCAAGUUUUGAUCACGUACACAUGUUUAUUCCCUAGUUACAAGUAUUCUGAACCAGUUCAAUCCCACAAAAUUUUUAUAAUAAUUAGCAUAAUUUUUUAGUUUUAAUUUAUUUUUAAAAUAAAAGCAUGGAACUAGAUUGAAUCUUUCUUGGGAAUCCCUAGCAAUGCUGGAGGCUGUGGAGUGGCGGGAAAUCAGGGUCAAUUUCAAUCAAACGUGUAUCUCUUUGCAUGUUUAAAAAAAAAAAAAAAAACCACUUAGUCAUUAAUUGUUACAAGCUGUCCAUAUACUAUUCCACCACUUAUCCUGACGGAAUACUUAAAUUAAAUCCUACGUCAUCAUGUUCAACAUGUCUCUACCACUUUCUAAUUGGUAGCCACAAGUUUUCAAUUCCAUUUAUUAAUAAUAAAUUGAAAACAAAAUCAAACUUUCAAAUACUCGCAACAACGUAUGUGAUUUUUUUUCAUCAAAUAAAUCCAUAAAAAGAAUAGUCUCAUUACUAUUAUUUUUUAUUAAAAGAAAAAAAAAAUUCUCGAUAAAAAAUUCAAUUAACUAUUUUCUGGACACCCAAAGCGUUACACCAAGGGGAAAAGAAAAGGAUCAUACAAGUUAAAGUUAAUUAAUUUGACAAAAAAAAAUCAAAUUUGUUUCAUCAUCUCCCAUUAUUAUUUCUAGGAAGAUGUGGUGUGGUGUGACGUAGAACUAAUUAGCUCUUAACAAACAAAUUGAGCAAAAAAUAAUAUCCAAAUUAUGUCCUAUAUAUACCAGUUUAGGCUAGGGGUGUAUAGAGUAGAGAGAUAUCUAGUAGUACUCCCUCUGCCUAUCUCAUUCUCCUCCUAAGUCCUAACAAAUAACAAUGGCCGGGAACGAGGUGGUCCUUCAAAUGGAGGAGCACCGGAAAGUAGUCGCUGAUCAGUUUGGAAAACCUGCGGAUGGCAGUGAUCAUAUGAAAGCCUUGGCUGACUUAAAAUCCAAAUUUCGUCGACUAGAAAAUGAAGAGGAAUCUGAAUCUCCAUUAUCAUCAAGUGUAAAGCCACAACGUCCCUUAUCAUCAAGUGUAAAGCCACAAUGUCCCAUGGUUCCAAAGAGGUUGCGACCAGAUGUCAAGGGUGCUGAAGACUACUACUAUGCGCCAAAACUCAUUUCUUUGGGUCCUUACCACCAUGGCAAGCCCCACCUCAAGGAUGGAGAAACGCUCAAGCUUAAAUUGGCAGAAGCCUACAUCCAAGAAUGUGAGCCAACAGUGGAUGAAAUUUACAACACAAUUAGCGAUAGCAUUAGUGAGCUGAGGGGCUGUUAUGAUGCGGAGUCGACAAAGAAAUAUAAGGAUGACGAAUUAACCAUCAUGAUGCUGGUGGACGGGUGUGCUCUACUCUGUUACAUUUUAUGCGUUUGCUUAGGUUAUGGCCAUGAAGAUUUCAAUAUCAGAUAUCAGGAUAUAAGCCUUCUGCACCAGGAUGCGUUGCUGCUGGAAAACCAACUUCCCUAUCAAUUACUCCUUGAGCUGAUGAAGAUGGUGGACCCAGGAUCAGCCAAUGAUUUUUGGACGGCCAUGUUCCAGGAAUUCUUCGGCAUCAGCGACGAGUCAAUAUUUCAGGAAUUUAUCGGUAUGAAGAAGAAGGAGUCAUUCCUGCAAAAAAUGAAGAAUUAUUGCCCCCGCCUAUUCCUCCCAAUCAACCAAAUUAUUGACCCCAAAUCGAAGCCGCAAAGUCCUAAUAACGAGUCAAAGCCUUGUCAUCAUCUCCUCGAUCUCUUCCGAAGAAAUUUCCUAGGCGAUGAACGUUCCGGCAGCCCAACGCACCCAGAAAAUGAAAAUUUGGAAGGUCCUUCGUCAUCGGAAACUGAAAUUGGCCGGAGGCUGGGUAGAGCAUCAGUUAGAGAUGUGAAGGAGGUUAUGGCAUCAUUUAGAAAUGUGAAGGAGCUGAUGGACGCUGGAAUCCGCAUCAAGCGCAGUCCUACACGUCACUUGAGGGACAUUUCUUUCCGUUCAAAUGGGAUCACCGCAUGCCUGAGAAUUCCUCCCAUCACCAUUGAUAACUCAACCAAGGCUAUGUUCUUGAACUUGAUAGCCUAUGAAAUGAGCUCAGACGUCGACCAUGACUUCAUCUCUUACCUUCGCUUCCUUGAUUCCCUCAUUGAUCAUGCUGAUGACGUUAAGGAGCUGCAGUCCAUCGGGAUACUCCAAAACAAUCUAGGAACCCACGACGAAGUAGCUCAAUUCUUCAACACCGUGUCCGCCAACUUGGAAUCCAACUUUCAUGCUUACAAAGACGUGAGAGUGAAAAUUCGGAAGCACCUUCAGAGUCACUAUAACAGCAAACUGACAAUGUGGAUGACACAAUGCCUGGACACCUAUUUCGGUAGCCCCUGGACUAUCAUAGCUUGGGUUGGUGCAGCUUUGGCCCUAUUCCUUACUUUCGUCCAGACUUACUUCUCAGUCUUCCCUCAUUGAUGCAUGCCUGCCCUCUUUUCAACUAUCACCGUCUCAAUUAAGGUAAUAUCCACUCCAAAUUUCCUUGUUCUUCUUGCUAUCUGCAUUUUACCUAGUCCAUGUAAAUUAAGCAAAGACUCAUUGGCUUCAUGCGCUUUUGACCUUACCUAUUUUGUGUUUUUGGUUUCAGCCUAUUUUCUACAUUGCUUUCCGUGCUUAAAUUAAGUAACGAAUGAAUAUGUAGUGUGACCUUAGUUUGGUGAUUUUGUGCUUUCGCAAGCAUGUGCUAUGCUUAUAUAUAUGCAUCAUCAGCAAUAUUAUGUUUGAUUUAAGUACGUAAAUAAAGAUAGAUAUAGGUGGAAUAUUUUUUUUUCUAUGUUUAUAUUCCUGUUAAUGUAUUAUAUAUAUGUUAGGUCUGGCAAUUUUUUAUCUCAUACCAUUUUUAAUUAAAUCAUUUUUAAACUAUAGUUACUAAGCCAAAAAUUAUAAUGCUCUAGAAAUAUAAUCAAUCUCAUUGUCGAAUUUUUCUAAACUAAUCUCAGAAUAAGCUCGAUAUCUCUAACAAUAUAUUAUUUAAGGCACAUAAUAUUCCAAAAAAAAUUCUGCAAAAGAAAAAGAAAUUUGUUGAGAAGUGGUUUAUUUUAGUUGAUCUCUUAUUAUAUUUAGGAAUAUGGACAAAAUGUUAUAUUUAGGAAUAUGAACAAAACAACAUUUUGUCCGAUAGAAAUUUACCCAUCAAUAUGAAUGGAUAGAAAUUUACCCAUCAACAUGAAUGGUAUGGAAAUUUGACUAAUGCUUGUAAGAUCGGAUUUGUAAAUAUUUGUGGGUGAGUUUCUUUUGACAACCGAUGGACAAAUUCAUGUCAUGUAAGACUUAUUUGACAACAUUCUAAAAUAAUGUUGCUAAAAAUAUUUAAGAAUAGUUCUGAAAAUAUGUUUUACCUGUUUUUAGGAAUAAAAUUCUAACUUAUUUUGAGAAUAUUCUUAAAAAAAAAAGAAAAAAAAAAAGAGAGAAUGUUGUUAAAACUUGUUAAGAAUAUUUUUAAAAAUAUGUUUUAUUUGUUUUUAGGAAUAAAAUUCCAUUUAAGAAGCCUAGUCCUUCGCAAAGGCAUGUGCCACCAUCUAUAAUGGAAGAAGUUCACACCUAUUUUUCAUUUUUUUUUUGUUCUUUUUUUAAAACACUUGCAUAGCUUCUGGAUUAAAGUUCUUAAAGAUUAUUUUCAAAAUUUGAUGUAAUAAUUUAAAAAAAAAUUACUAUAAAUAUAUAUAUAUAUAUAUAGAGUUACUAUUAUUUUUAAUUUUACAAAAUAAAAAACAAAAAAUGUACCUAAAGGAUACCUUAAUUUCAACUUAUUAACUAUAUGUAAAAUUAAAAGUAUUUUUCUCCUUUUCAACUUGUUACAUACUUCAGUGCUUGUAUAUUGCUUCCAUACCAUAUGAUAAGAUGUGGCUAAAAUUGAUCUUCAUGUCAAGAAUUGGAAGCCUUCAAUAUGUUGUAAUUGCUUAAAAGAUUUCGCUUUGAGUUAUGUUUCUUGUGGGGUGAUGGCAAAGAAAACCAACAAAUUAAUAGAAAAACUAUAAAUAUAAUUCAGAAUUAAGGAAAAAAGAAAUACAAUAUUGAAGGUGCAGUAGAAUAAAAAGGAGUGUGGGCAUGAAUGAUAUGUAAAAACUCACCCAAUAGAAUCCUUUAUGAAGUAAAUAUUUUCAUAUCAUACGAUCCAAUGUUAAUCCUUCAUAACCUAUGGAACUGUAGAACCUUGAGAGGAAAAAAGCCACUCACAAAUUAUGACACAAACAGAAACUAGGAACAGUGGAAGAAAAUUGAAAAACUGAUCUCCCUUUCCGAGUCCAGCAACAAAAUUAGUGUCCAACCUUAAAAUGGGCAUGUGUGGUAUUGACGAGAGAUGCUAAGAUGGAAAUCAUAACCAUAGUCAUGUUCUCUCUGUGUCUUUGUGUCUUUCUAACCCACUUUUUUUAAGAAAAUAAUAGACCAAGACUAUAAUUAUCAAUUAUGACUUUAUUGUUUAAUUUAUAUUCUUUAACAAUUUUUUUAUUUUUUUAAGAAUAAUUUGUUUUACUAUAAUGGUAGGUGAUGAAUUUAUUUUCUUAAUAAAAGGCCUCCCAAUAAGGCAAUAGUUUCAUGUUUUUUUUUUAUCCUCUGCUUUUGUUGCAACUCUUCUGCUUCCGACCUUUCAUUAACCUAAAUAUUAGAAGUUUCUAAUUCAGUCCAUUGCACUCCAGUUGUCUAAAUACGGAAGCUUCUUCCACGACCCAGUUGCACUUUGGAAAGUUAAGCUUAAGAUUUACGAAGUUUCUGAAAAUUACAGUUUAUUUAGUUUCUAAAAUCCAAUUAGCUAGAUAUUUUAUUUGAUUUCUUUUUAUAUUUAAGUAGUUGAGUUUUGGAAAGUUUUUAUAUUUUAUUAAUAGAAAAAAAAAAUUUAUAUUUUUUAUUAUUAGGAAUUUCUAUUUUGUUAAAUUGUAAGUAUCUAUCUCAAUAAGAGAUUAUUAAUAUUCGAAUGAAAGUGAUGAAAGAUAGUAAAUAUUUUAAUGCUCCUCAAUUAUAUUUUAAUGUUAUUUUUUUACAUGAGGGUUAAUUCAAUUUUAAUUUCAACAUGUAAUAUGUUAAAAAUAUUAUAAAAUAGAACUAUAAAGGAGUAUUUACUUAUUUUAUAAUAUUUUCAAUCUACAAUUUUCAAAAAUCAAUAUUUAAAAAAGGUAUUAAAACAUCCCUUCUCUUCAAUAUAAAAGCAUUAUUGUAACAUAUUGUGGACCCCGCAUUUUGCCCAAUGCGUUCCCACUCGAUGACAAAACUCGCUUUCUAUUUAUUUUGUGAAAAAUAUGAUUUUUUUCAAAAGACUUAGAGUCGCCACUUAUUUUUGUUUUAUUUUUAAAGGAAAAACAAAAUAAGAAAGAAAAACCCUAAAUGUGAUUCCUUAUUUGGAAAAAAUAGGUCUGUGAAAAAUCACGUCGGGUCCGAGGGUCAGGUUACUUAUUGGAAAAGUACGGUGGUGAGCCAUAACACCCCUCUAAGUCCAUAAAAACGGGUCUCUACUAAUAAAAUGAAGCAAACAUGACAAUUGGUAAGGAAAUCAAUGGAUACAAAAGUGAUCACAAAUUAAAAGUAAUCAUGAUAAUGAAUAAAUGAACGAAGUGAGAGCGAGAGUGUACCUUGGCAGCAGGUAAUAAAGCGUUAUUAUGAAACAAAGUUAGUGCACAAUAACAAAUACAAAAUAUAUCACAUGCAUGUCAAAUAUUAGAACAAAAAAAAAAAAAAUAUUCAUUAGGCAUAGCAAUUAACAAUCAGAAGAGAAAUCUCAUAUGUAGGGUCCCCCACCAAAGCCCAAUUUAUCUUGCAUGCAUUGGUCUCACAAAUUUUAUUAUUUCGAAAUUAUGAAAAAUUCAUUCUUACUUAUGAAAAAUCAAAAGAAACAGAAGAUUAUUUGAAAACCGGAGUGGAAUUAAAACUGUUCAAAAUUUGUUUGAAAAUUGGAGUCUCGAAAAUUAUUUGAAAAUUGGAGUCUUGGGAAUUAAAUUUAAGAAUUGGAAUUUUGGAAAUUAAAUUUGAAAGAAAUUGGAAUUUUUUAAAAUUAUUUAAGAAUUAGAGUUUUUAAAAUUAUAUUAAGGAAUUGGAACUUUAGAAAUUAAAUUUGAAAGAAAUUAGCAAAUUAUUUGAGAAUUAGAGUUAUGAAAAUUAAAUUAUGAAAAUUGGAAUCUUGGAAAUUAUUUGAAGAUGGAAAAAAUAAACAAAAUAAUAAUAGUAAUAAUAAAUAAAUAAAUAAAUAAAUGUGAAAAUUGGAAUUUCGGAAAUUGGAAAUUAAAUUCGGAAAUUGAAAAAUUGGAAUUUCAAAAAUUGAGAAUUAAAAUUGAAAAUCAGAAUUUUGAAGAAUUAUUUACAAAUGGAAUUUUAAAAAUAAAUUAAUUAAUUAAAUAAUGAUAAUAACGAAGAUAACAAUGAUUAAAUAAAUAAAUUUGAAAAUUAGAAUUUUGGAAAUUGGAAAUUAAAUUCGAAAAUUAGAAAAUUGGAAUUUAGGAAAUUCGGAAUUGAAUUUGGAAAUCGGAAUUUUGAAGAAUUAUUUAAAAAUAGAAUUUUAAAAAUAAAUUAAAUAAUGAUAAUAACGAAUAUGAUAAUGAUUAAAUAAAUAAAUAUGAAAAUUAGAAUUUUAGAAAUUGGAAAUUAAAUUCGGAAAAUUGUAAUUUAGGAAAUUGGAAAUUGAAUUUGGGAAUCGAAAUUUUGAAGAAUUAUUUAAAGAUGAAAUUUUAAAAAUAAAUAAAUUAAUUAAUUAAAUAAUGAUAAUAACGAAGAUAGCAAUGAUUAAAUAAAUAAAUUUGAAAAUUAGAAUUUUGGAAAUUGGAAAUUAAAUUCGGAAAUUGAAAAAUUGGAAUUUUGGAAAUUGGGAAUUGAAUUUGGAAAUCGGAAUUUUGAAGAAUUAUUUAAAGAUGAAAUUUUUGAAAACUUGAUUUAAAAGGAGAUGGAGUUUCAAAAAUUUAUUUGAAGGUGUCAUUUUAAAAAUUAAAUUUAGAAUUGUGGAAUUUUUGGAAGAUUAAAAUUAAAAUUUUGAAUUUGGGAAAAUUAAAUUUAAAGUUAGAGUUUUAGAAAAUUAUUUCAAGAAUUGAAUUUUGAAGAAUUAAAUUUAAAAUAUUGAAGUUUUGGAAAAUUGAACUUAAGAUCUGAAAUUUCGUAAACUAAAUUUAAAAAUCAAAUUUUACAAGAUUAUUUCGAAAAGGGUACUUAUAUAUAUAUAUAUAUAUAUAUAUUAAUAAAAUAAUAAAUAAAUAGAUAAAUAAAAAUAAAUAAAUAAAGCAAAUAAAAUGAAUGAAUAAAUGAAUAAAUUUGAAACUUUGGGAUUUUAGAAGAAUUAUUUGAUAACAGAAUUUAAAAAAAAAAUGAAAUUUUUAACAUGAAAAGUGGAAUUACGAAGAUGGCACGUGAAAGAAAAGAUAAAAAACUAAUAAUAAUUCACCAUGAGGCCACUGGACCCAUGCCACUAAUAAAAAAAAAACUCAUGCCUUUGACUUUUCAUUCACCAAUUGUUUAAACAAUUUCCUACUGUCAAUGAACCACCAAGAAGUGGAGUAAUGAAGCCCCACUUCUCCACGAAAAAAAAAAAAACACCAGUAUGUAUCUGACUAGUGAUGACAAACUGUGGUGGCGAACAAGGAUAGAAGACGAUGUAGAGUUUGGAAGGCCCCAAAUCACCACUUGGGAGACUUUGAAGAAGGAAUUGAAGGAUCAGUUCCUUCCCACCAACAUUGCUUGGGUGGCCAAAGAAGCGUUGAAAAGGGUCAAACACACCGGAUCUGUAAGGGACUACGUCAAGGAAUUCAGUUCCUUGAUGCUGGACAUAAAGAACAUGUCAGAUGAGGACAAGCUCUUCAAUUUCAUGUCUAGAUUGCAAGGGUGGGCUCAAACGGAACUUAGGAGGCAAGAGAUUCGUGAUCUCCCUGUUGCCAUGGUUGCAGCAGAUUGCCUGGUGGACUACAAGAUGGGUGGCGCCAUCUCCACCAUGUAGAGACCUAAGUCAGAAGGAGGUAAGAAGGCUAAGGUUGAGGGCAAGACUUCUAAGAAAUCUGGGUGGAAGAAACAGAACAAGAAGCCUGUUGUAGAGGGAAAACCAGUGGAAAAGACCAUAAAGUUUGUGCAGCAGACCACCCGGAUGGUAGGAUGUUUCAUCUGCAAUGGCCCUCAUCGAGCCAGAGACUGCCCCAAAAGAAAGAAACUCUCAGCCCUUGUGACUGUAGACGACAAGGGAGAGUCUGACUUAGAGACUCCUCUUAGAGUCAACCCACUGCAACUCCUGAACGUGAUUAAUGGUGAGACUCCAGUCCAUAAGUCCCUAAUGCAUGUCCAUGCAGUUGUAAAUGGUGUGCAGGUGAAGGCCUUGGUGGACAGUAGUGCCACGCACAACUUCGUGGCCACCAGAGAAGCAACCAGGUUGGGAUUGAAGUUGGAAGAGGAUACUAAUUAGAUCAAGGCAGUCAAUAGCAAAGCCCAGAAAAUCCAAGGGGUAGCAAAGAAUGUCCCCAUGCAAAUUAGUGACCGGAAGGGCACAUGCAACCUACUUUGUGUACCCUUGGACGACUUCAACUUGAUCAUCGGUGUAGAUUUCCUCUUGAGGGCUAAGGUGGCCUUGAUCCCACAUCUUGGUGGGCUGGUGGUGUUAGAAGAAAAGCAGUCUUAUUUCAUGAAGGCCUUGAGGGUGAAGGAUGGUGGCAAGGGUUAACAUGAGAUGCUGUCUACUAUCCAUUUGAAGAAGGGAUUGAAGAGGGGUCAGGAGACUUAUGUUACAACCUUGAUCGAGAUCAAGGAGAGAUAGUCUGUGGAAGUCCCUGAUUCAGUGGUCAAAAUCCUUAAGGAGUUCAGAGAUGUGAUGUCUGCAGAACUCCCCAAAGAAAUGCCACCUAGGCGGCCUAUUGACCACAAGAUUGAAUUGCUACCUGGAACAAAGGCCCCGGCUUAAGCUCCUUACAGGAUGCCUCCUGCGGAGUUGUUGGUGUUACGUAAGUAAUUGAAGGAACUGUUGGAUGCAGGCCUGAUCCAGCCCUCAAGGGCCCCAUAUGGUGCACCAAUGAUGUUCCAAAAGAAGCAUGAUGGCUCUCUCCGCAUGUGUGUAGAUUAUAGAGCUCUCAACAAGGUGACCAUCAAGAACAAGUACCCGAUCCCCUUGGCUGCCGAGCUGUUUGACAGAUUGUCAAAAGCCUCUUACUUCACCAAGUUGGACCUAAGAUCGACUACUGGCAAGUGCGAAUUGCAGUAAGAGAUGAGAAGAAUACCACCUGUGUAACUCGGUAUGGAUCAUACGAGUUUCUGGUAAUGCCAUUUNNNNNNNNNNNNNNNNNNNNNNNNNNNNNNNNNNNNNNNNNNNNNNNNNNNNNNNNNNNNNNNNNNNNNNNNNNNNNNNNNNNNNNNNNNNNNNNNNNNNUAAUGCCCCUGCUACAUUCUGCAAUUUGAUGAAUGAUGUUCUGUUUGAUUACUUAGAUGCAUUUGUGGUAGUGUAUCUAGAUGAUAUUGUGGUUUACAGUAAGACUCUAACAGAACAUGAGAAACACUUGAGAUUGGUGUUUCAGAGAUUGAGGGAGAACAUGCUUUAUGUAAAGCCAAAGAAAUGUGAGUUUGCUCAGGAGGAUAUCACAUUUCUAGGACACAAGAUCAGUGCAGGUCUGAUCAAGAUGGAUAAAGGCAAGGUGCAGGCUAUUAUGGAGUGGCCAGUCCUUAGCAAAGUGACUGAGUUGCGGUCCUUCCUUGGCUUGGCCAAUUACUACAGAAGGUUCAUUAAGGGGCAUUCAAAGAGGGUGUCUCCCCUUACUGACCUAUUGAAGAAGGACAACCAGUGGAGUGGAGCAUGUAGUGUCAGAUGGCCUUUGAAGGCUUGAAGGAAGCCAUCUCCACUGAGCUUGUGCUACGUUUGCCAGACUUAGACUUACCCUUUGAAGUCCAGACAAAUGCCUCAAAUAGAGCUUUGGGUGGAGUCUUGGUGCAAGAAGGGCACCCUAUGGCAUUUGAAAGUAGGAAGUUGAAUAAUGUUGAGCAGAGGUACUCCACUCAUGAGAAGGGGAUGAUAAUUGUGGUUCACUGCCUGCAGCAGUGGAGACACUACUUAUUGGGAAGCAUUUUUACAGUGGUCACUGAUAAUGUGGCCAACACCUUCUUCAAAACUCAAAAGAAGCUGAGUCCCAGACAAACACGAUGGUAGGAGUUCCUGGCCAACUUCAAAUUUGAAUGGCUGCAUCGACCAGGAAGACAUAACACUGUGGCUGAUGGCUUCAGUAGGAAAGAGGUGAUUGCCUACAUCAUGGCCCUCUCAGAAGUCAUCUUUGACUUCAAUAAGAAAAUCAAGCAAGUUGCAGAGUAGGAUGCUGCAUAUGGCAGGUUGAAGCGGCAAGUUAAGGAGGGUGUGAUAAGGAGGUAUUGGCUAGAGGGAGACCUCCUUGUGGCAAAAAGAGGAAGAUGGUAUGUUCCUGCAGGCGGCCUGAGAAAUGAAUUAUUGCAGAAAACUCAUGACGCAAAGUGGGCAGGUCAUUCCGGUGAAGAGAAGACUCUGGCACUGCUAGCCAUAUCCUACUAUUGACCUAAGAUGGGUGAGGAUGUCCAGGCAUAUGUGAAAUCCUAUCUGGUUUGUCAGAUGGACAAGACCAAGAUGAAGAAGGUUGUAGGGUUGCUACAACCCCUCUCCAUUCCAGAGAAACCUUAGGAGAGCAUUUCCAUGGAUUUCAUCACUGGAUUUCCAAAGGUUUGUGACUUUAAAUCUAUCUUUGUUGUUGUAGAUAGAUUCUUUAAGUAUGUUGUGUUUAUACCUGCCUCUGAUGCUUGCUCUACGGAGGAAGCGACUAAGUUGUUUUUCAGUAAUGUUGUCAAGCACUUUGGGUUGCCUAGGGACAUAGUCAAUGAUCGAGAUGCACGGUUCAUAGGCCGAUUUUGGGUUGAGUUGUUCAAACUCUUGGGUUCAUAGUUGAAGUUUUCUACAGCCAACUACCCUCAUACUGUCGGUACUCGCACGGAUUCUACCAUUUCCCGGUAUUCGCCGGGAUUUUACGAUUUUUCGUUAUUCGCUCGGAUUCUACCAUUUUCAUUUAGUCACACUGAUUCAACCCUUUUCCGGUACUCGCCCGAACAGUUUUUCGGUACUCGCACGGAUUCUACCAUUUCCCGGUAUUCGUUGGGAUUUUACGAUUUUUCGGUAUUCGCCCGGAUUCUACCAUUUUCAUUCAGUCACACUGAUUCAACCCUUUUCCGAUACUCGCCCGGAGAGUUUUUCGGUAUUCGCACGGAUUCUACCAUUUCCCGGUAUUCGCCGGGAUUUUACGAUUUUUCGGUAUUCGCUCGGAUUCUACCAUUGUCAUUUAGUCACACUGAUUGAACCCUUAUCCGGUACUCGCCUGGAGAGUUUUUCGAUACUCGCACGGAUUCUACCAUUUCCCAGUAUUCGGUUGGAUUUUACGAUUUUUCGGUAUUCGCUCGGAUUCUACCAUUUUCAUUUAGUCACACUGAUUCAACCCUUUUUCGGUACUCGCCCGAACAGUUUUUCAGUAGUCGCACGGAUUCUACCAUUUCCUGGUAUUCGUUGGGAUUUUACGAUUUUUCGGUAUUCGCUCGGAUUCUACCAUUGUCAUUUAGUCACACUGAUUGAACCCUUAUCCGGUACUCGCCUGAAGAGUUUUUCGAUACUCGCACGGAUUCUACCAUUUCCCGGUAUUCGGUUGGAUUUUACNNNNNNNNNNNNNNNNNNNNNNNNNNNNNNNNNNNNNNNNNNNNNNNNNNNNNNNNNNNNNNNNNNNNNNNNNNNNNNNNNNNNNNNNNNNNNNNNNNNNCAUGACGCAAAGUGGGCAGGUCAUUCCGGUGAAGAGAAGACUCUGGCACUGCUAGCCAUAUCCUACUAUUGACCUAAGAUGGGUGAGGAUGUCCAGGCAUAUGUGAAAUCCUAUCUGGUUUGUCAGAUGGACAAGACCAAGAUGAAGAAGGUUGUAGGGUUGCUACAACCCCUCUCCAUUCCAGAGAAACCUUAGGAGAGCAUUUCCAUGGAUUUCAUCACUGGAUUUCCAAAGGUUUGUGACUUUAAAUCUAUCUUUGUUGUUGUAGAUAGAUUCUUUAAGUAUGUUGUGUUUAUACCUGCCUCUGAUGCUUGCUCUACGGAGGAAGCGACUAAGUUGUUUUUCAGUAAUGUUGUCAAGCACUUUGGGUUGCCUAGGGACAUAGUCAAUGAUCGAGAUGCACGGUUCAUAGGCCGAUUUUGGGUUGAGUUGUUCAAACUCUUGGGUUCAUAGUUGAAGUUUUCUACAGCCAACUACCCUCAUACUGAUGGGCAGACUGAGAGAAUCAACGCCUUGCUGGAAGAAUACCUCAAGCAUUAUGUGACAGCAAUACAAAAGAAUUGGGUGGAUUUGUUAGAUACUGCCUAGUUGUGUUAUAAUCUGCAGAGGAGCUCAACAACAAGGAUGAGUCCCUUUGAGCUGGCUAUUGGGGUACAGCCACAGAUGCCUUUGGAGGUAGCUAAGCAAAAAGCAGAAGGAGGUAGUCCUGCAGCUUACAAGAUGGCUCAAUCCCGGCAUGAGAUGUUUGAUGAAGCCCGGGACAGUCUAGAGAAGGCAGUUAGAUGAAUGAAGAAGUAUGCGGAUCAUGACCGCAAAUCCUUGGAAUUUUAGGUUGGGGACAAGGUCCUCUUGAAAUUGACUCAUAAGAUAUGGAAGAAAAUCAGUAGCAAGACAAGGCAGAGGAGUCUAAUUCCUAAGUAUGAUGGACCAUUCGAGGUGAUAAAACGAGUUGGGCAGAUGACCUACAUGUUGAAGCUGCCUGAGAGGCUCAAGCUUCACCUAACUUUCCAUGUUAGCUUUCUAAAUCUUUACCAUGAGGAUCUGGAUGUAGAGAGAGUGCAAAUAAAGCGGGCCCUUCUCUUGGUCAUGAAGCAGUUUGAUCGAGAGAUAGAGAAAAUCUUAAAUCAUAGGACCAUGGGACAUAGCAGAAAGAACCGACGAACUGAUUUCUUGGUUUAGUGGAAGUGGACUUCAAAAGUAGAAGCUACAUGGGAGAGGAAUGUUACCUUAUGGCAAUUUGAGACGGCGGUCCAAACAUAUUGGUAGACUAAGUCGACGAGGGUGUCAACUUCAAUAGGCGGGGGUGGGUUUGUCAGCCCCUUAACCACUUGACUCUACCAUGGAGGAAAAGGCCUCAUGGGUAAACCUUGCACCCAUGAGAGCCUAGACGGAGAAAGCAAGGAAGACUUAGAGGUUUGGUGGUUCAAACUCCAAGAGCUAAGUGAGAAGGCCAUGUGUGAGCUAGACACGCACCGUGGACGAGCCUGACGCACACCGUGCGUGCAUCGCGAGCGAGUCAAACAAGCACCGCGUGCGCAUUAGAUGGGCACCGCGUGCACACUAGAUGGGCAUCGCGCGCGCACCAAUCUUAGGUAGUGCAGAUGAAGGCUGAAGGCUACUUUUGGAAUUUAAUUUAUAUUUAUUUAAUAUUCCAUUAUGUCUCAUCAGGCAUAUUAAUGUCUCCUCCAGAAACAAUGAAAACGACUUGUAUUACUCUUUAGGGGGGGGGGGGGGGGGGGGGGGGGGGGGGGGAGGAGGUAAGCAACUCAAAAAGGGAAGCACCAAGGGAAAGCCUUGACCGCACCAAGAGGGCACCAUGACACGACCUUGGGCGUGCCUAGGACACACGGAUAGGACUCGAGCACGCACACAUGGGCUCCACGACAUGUGUGGUGUGCACCACGUGGCCACAACGGCACGGGGCCUGGUGCGGCCUACCUCCUCCUCGUGUAGGCAUGAGGACGCCUAAACCUUGUGCAGUGAGCCAGUUGAGGAAGUCAUGGGCGCAAUACCAUGGCUUGAUGGGGCAUUAAACAACAAUUGACUAGCACCCAUGAUGCCUACGUACAGCACAAGGGCGCAAUGCCCUGUGCACUAAGAGGGAUCAGUCAUGAACGCAAUGUCAUGGCUCGUUGCUAUGAAGUUGGACCUCACAUUGGAAGCAAGCAACAUGCCCAAGCCAUGGGCACCUAAACAUGACAUGGGCUCACAUAUCAGUGUGGGGAAGACACACUGAUGCACCAGACACUUGGUCAGCUGGUUGGUGCACGUUGCCUAGUUCUGAAGGCCUUGAUCAAAGACACGCUGGUGGGCACCAGGUCAUAAGAGGCACCUUGCGGGAAAGGAGGCAACUUGUUAAGGGGACUCUUCAGCAGCUUGGUGAGAAAGGCUUGAGGAGAUGGCAAUGCAACAAGCUAGUGGCAGCUAGUUGGGAUAGCAAGUGAUCAAGUCAAGCAGCCAAUUGACUUGCAGUUGGCUGAGGUGUUGAUGGCUGGUGCAAGUGGGUGGUUCACGAGCAGGCCACUAUCUGGGUGGUGGGUGGUUAUGCAGGACAGUUAUGGGCGCAUUUGGCCAAUUGCAUAACCACUAGAUUGGCUUCAACUUUUAAAUUUGGUAAUUCAAAAAUGUAACUGCAGAAUGAGUCUUUUAAAAGGGCUCCUGCAUCCUUGAAAUAGAGAGUGAGAGAUUGGGAUAGGGUUCUCUUAAUGCUUGGGGUGUGAAGUAUUGUACUAUGACUCAGGGGAAACAAUUUUGUCUUGUAGAGUGAAUUAAUACAAGUUGGGAAAGGUUUCCUGUAAAUCGUUGGUGUCCCUGUUACUGUGCUUUUACUUUGCUUUUACUCUAUUUUUGAAAAGGCUGGGAAGGAAGGUUGGCUAAGGAAGGGUCCUUAGCACCGCACACUCGUGAAAAAUUUAGUGUGAUCUUCAGGGGGGUGUAACAGUGAGUAUAGUGUCGGGUUUGAGCAUCUCCAAGCAUUUCAAUAUGGUUCAAAUGGCUCUCAAACAUCCAGAAAUUCCCAACAGUAUGAAAAAUGGCUCUCAUGGUGCUCUCCCAGAAACACCUCCACCCAAGAUGGCCAACCUCAAACGUAAUGCCCAACACUCUAAAAUAUACCAAAAGCAGAGGAGAAAGUAAACAAAAGCAAAGCAUGCACAAACGUAAAUGAUACCGUUAAACCUAGCUCCAUUUCAUAAAGAUCAAUGGGCUGGAUAUAGGCGGAACCAAAAGAAAGCAAGAACGUGAUCUUCAAAACCUUAUUCAAGCAUCAAGAUGAACCCAAAAUUGGCGGGAAAUGAAAUAGAACAAACCGAAAUGGGAAAUGCAAAGCAUGCUAAAAUCAUACCUGACCAAAACGACAGGCUUUUCCUCUGCUCAAACUCGGAAUGUCCCUUUCUCCUAUCUUUCUUAGCUAGCUCUGCUACCCUUCCUCCAUGUCUCCUAUCAGCUGGGUUUUUCUUAUUUUCUCAGCCCGCUUCAUAACCACCAGAAAAACGAAAAAAAAUCUCUUCUUACCUCCUUCCAGCUUACUUCUCCUCCAAGCUAUAUCCAUAUCCCAUCUCAUUUGGCAACCCAAUAGCUCACCCAUCAGUCCUCUUUGGCUGCCCCAAAAACAGCUCACUUCUAAGGUAGUCAGAAAAAGAAAAAAAGAAGAAAGAAGGAAAAAAAAAAUGCUUCCAUCCGAGGGGGUCUACACAUAUACAUUUUGUUCUAAUUUUCUAAUAGUUGUGCACAGUUGAAGGGAAAACAAUUUGAUUUUCUAAUUAAUAUUACUUUUAUAAAUACUUUAAUUACUUUUAUAAAAUUGAUUCAUAAUGAUUUUAUUAUUUCUUUGGAACUCAUAAAAUAAAUCUAAUUACGACAGAAAAAGAAAAAGAGAAAAGUGAGUUUUGAUCACUAAUUUGAAAAAUACAAAAAUAAAAAACUUCAGCUUUUAUAAAUCAUUUGUAUCUUCAUUUAUUUAAAAUUAUUUUAAAAUACAUGCACUUUUUUAUAACUCAAAUAAUUAUUUCCUAAAAUGACCUUAUUAUUUAUGAUGUUAAUAAUAUCAUUUUUUUUUAACCAUGAGAACCUAUUUGAGAUUAAUAAAAUGAGAAAUUUUAAAAAUUUUAAAUACAAUUAAAACUAAAAAAACUUUAAAGUUAAAAAUAUAAAAAUAAAAUAUUAUAUUUUUUUAUUAUAUUUUUGGUUUUUAAUUGUAUUUAAUUUUUAUGUAUUUUAGUUUUAAUUAUAUUUUUAAAUUUUAUAAAUUUCUUAUGUUAUCCUUAAUUGAUGUCAACUAAUAAAAUUUAUAUUCAAUUUUAUUUAUUUUUUUUAAAUGAGAAGAUGUGGGGGUUUAUCUAAUACAAAACAUAAAAUCAUAUUAACUAGGGGAUUAACAAGAUUUUAUUUAUUACUUGAUGAUGUUGGAAAAUUUUUCCACGAUGAUUUGUAUCUUAUGUUAUAUAAUAAAAUUUUAUAAUAUAUUUAUUUAUAAAAUAUUUUUAUCAAAUUAAAAUAAUAAAUUUGGAUAAAUUCAUUUAAUAUUAUCAAAUAAAAAUGUAUUUUAGGAAAUAAUUAUUUAACUUAUGAAAAAGUGUAUAUAUUUUAAAAAAAAUUAAAUGGAUAAAGAUAAAAUUGAUUUAUAAAAUUUAAUUUUUUUUUUCUAUAUUUUUUCAAAUUAGGUUAAAACCCACUUUUUCUCAAAAAAAUAAUAGACCAAAUCUAUAAUUAUCAAUUACAAACCUACAAUUAUCAAUUAUGACUUUAUUGUUUAAUUUAUAUUCUUUAACGAAUUUUUAAAAUUUUUAAGAAUAAUUUGUAAUUCAAAAAAUUGGUCCAUUUAAUUACAAAUUAAAUAAAAAAUUCCAUAAUAUGUUGUUAUCCUUGUAUGUAAUAAAAAACUCGGAUUAUUUAUAUGUUAUAAAAGUUAAAAUUUAUUUAUUUUUAAAUUAAUUUUAUAUAAAAUAUUAUUAAUUGUUAUUAUUUUUAAACAAUUAUUAUUCAUUUUUUAAAAAAAAUAAUUAUACUUUUACAAAAAUAUUAAUAUCCAUAUUUUUAUAAUAUAUAUUAAAAUAGUAUAUUUUUAUGAAAAAAAAAAUAAUUUUAUGACUUUAUUAUAAUAUUACUAUUCAUAUUUCACUAAAUUUAAUUUAUUUGUAACAACAAAAAAAACUAUUUUCAUUUUUAAUAAAACUUAAAUUAAAUCUAAUUAAUAUGGUAUAAAUAGAAUUUAUAACAUUUUUACAAAAUCAAAAUAGAAAAAAAAAAUUAAACCAAUUUAUUCAAAUAAACUUGUUUUUUCUUUUUUCUAAAUAUUUUUAAAAACAAUUUAUCUAAUACUCUUAUUUUUAUAAAAUAUUAAAAUAACAAUUUUUUUAUUUAAAAAAAAACAUGAAAAAAGCAUGGUCACAACAAACCUAAAAAUAAUUAUGAUUCUAUGUACUUUUUCAUUAAAUGUGCUAUUUUUUACCAUUCACGUGUUAUGCCUUACUGAUGUAGAUCAAAGUUACGCAUAAGAUUAAAAAUGAUUUUUGUACUGUUGCUAUUUUGACGGGUUUUUUUUUUUUCAAAUGAAACAUGCUUUUUGCCCUUUUUGCCCCCACUCUGAUUGAGGGUUUGGUUUAUUUCACUAGCACGGAGCCCUCUCCAUCUGCCAGCCUACCUGACAACUCUGAACCGCUCUUUAAGUCUUUGUUUUUCCUCUUUCAUCAAUGACACAAAUAACUCUCACAUCAGGCGUUUUAAUCUAUUACUGCCACAGGCCCACAAGCAUCAGACAAGGUAUUAAUAGAGGCUUCUCUUUGAUACACCUCAAUAACCAUCCAUGUAAGAUAUGUAUAUUAAACACUAUGAUUCAAUACAUUAUUAUAUACAAACCAGAUGAACCCAGUUACCCACAACCUAGCUUAUUAUAAUUUUUUUAUUUGAAUUAAAUUAAAUGAUUUCAUAAUAAUACUUUUUUUUAUUUUGAAAUAAUAGGUGUUGUGCAAUUUGUUUUACUUUAUUGGUAGGUUAUGAAUUAUUAUUAUUAAUAGUAAUAGUAAUAUAAUUCAAUUAAUAUUUUGUAGGAUACUCAAAAGCUUUAUAUGCACGUAACAAAAUAAAAAGACUUACGAAGACUUAAAAUUAAUGUAAUAUCUAUUCAAUUUACAUAAAUAAGUAUGAUUGUGUGAAAAAGGAGAUAAAUGAAAAAGGUAAAGAAGGUGAACAAUAAUAAAUUUGAAGGAUAUGGGAAAUAUUUGGUUAAAUUAAUAAAGAUAAAAUUGAUUCAUAAAAUUUAAGUUUUUUUUUUUAUAUUUUUUUAAAUUAGUGGGUCAAAACCCACUUUUUCUCAAAAAAUAAUAGAUCAAAACUAUAAUUAUCAAUUAUAACUUUAUUGUUUAAUUUAUAUUCUUUAACAAAUUUUUAAAAUUUUUAAGAAUAAUUUGUAAUUCAAAAAAUUGGUCCAUUUAAUUACAAAUUAAAUCAAAAUUUCCAUAAUAUGUUGUUGUCGUCGCAUGUAAUAAAAAGCUCGGAUUAUUUUAUAUGUUAUAAAAGUUAAAAUUUAUUUAUUUUUAAAUUAAAUUUAUAUAAAAUAUUAUUAAUUAUUAUUAUUUUUGAGCAAUUAUUAUUCCUUUUUAACAAAAAAUAUAUAUUUUUACAAAAAUAUUAAUAUCCAUAUUUUUAAAAUAUAUAUUAAAAUAGUAUAUGUUUUUAUGAAAAAUAUAAUUUUAUGACUUUAUUGUAAUAUUAUUAUUCAUAUUUUACUAAACACUAUUUAUGUUAAUUUAUUUGUUAUAACAAAAACUAUUUUCAUCUUUAAUAAAACUUAAAUUAAAUCUAAUUAAUAUGGUAUAAAUUGAAUUUAUAACAUUUUUACAAAAUCAAAAUAGAAAAAAAAAAUUAAAACCAAUUUAUUCAAAUAAACCUUUUUUCUUUUUUCUAAAUAUUUUUAAAAACAAUUUAUCUAACACUUAUUUUUAUAAAAUUUUAAAAAAACAAACAUGAAAAGAACAUGGUCACAACAAACCUAAAAUAAUGACGAGUCUGAACCGCUCUUUAAGUCUUUGUUUUUAUUUCACUCAGACGGAGCCCUCUCCAUUUGCCAGCCAGCCUGACAAGUCUGAACCGCUCUUUAAGUCUUUGUUUUUCCUCUUUCAUUAAUGACAAAAAUAACUCUCAUAUCAGGCGUUUUAAUCUAUUACUGCCACAAGCAUCAGACAAGGUAUUAUUAGAGGCUUCUCUUUGAUACACCUCAACAACCAUCCAUGUAAGAUAUGUAUAUUAAACACUAUGAUUCAAUACAUUAUUAUAUACAAACCAGAUGAACCCAGUUACCCACAACCUAGCUUAUUAUAAUUUUUUUUAUUUGAAUUAAAUUAAAAGAUUUCAUAAUAAUACUUUUUUUUUUUUUUUUGAAAUAAUAGGUGCUGUGCAAUUUGUUUUACUUUAUUGCUAGGUUAUGAAUUAUUAUUAUUAGUAGUAAUAGUAAUAUAAUUCAAUUAACAUUUUGUAGGAUACUCAAAAGGUUUAUAUGCGACAUAACGGAAUAAAAAGACUUACGAAGACUUAAAAUUAAUGUAAUAUCUAUUCAAUUUAUAUAGAUAAGUAUGAUUGUGUGAAAAAAGAGAUAAAUGAAAAAGGUAAAGAAGGUGAAAAAUAAUAAAUUUGAAGGAUAUGGGAAAUAUUUGGUUAAAUUUCAAACUAAUGGUAAAUAAGUAUUUUUAACCUCUAUACAGGGGGAAGUGAGUAAAAUUAUUGAAUGUAGCCAAAAAUAUAAAUAAGGUACUAGAGGCUUCUAAAUAAACGUGGAUAUGAGAAAAGGUAUAUUUAUAAAAAUUAAAUAAAAUUGUUGAAGAAACUAUUAAACUAUAAUCUAAUGCUUUACAAUCUUGUAUAAUGAGAUUAACCUAAAUUAUUAACGAAAUAUCUUAUUAUAUUUUUUAUUUAAAUUAAAUCAAAAAAAUUUGAUAAUAAUGAUUUCAUUUUUAUCUUAGGAGUAAUAGGUGUUCCUUGUGUUCUUUUGUGAUCUCUUGUGUCUAUAAUUAUAUUACUUUUUCUCACACACUCUCUUACUUGGUUAUUUGUUUGUCUUAUGUGUGCAUAUCAUAGGAUUGUUCAUUGGUGGAUGUUGUAUGGUAAUUGUAAUUUGUGCGAUUAAGGAUGAUGUUUAGUUUAGAUGAAUGUCCUUGACAAAUUUGUAAACUCCAUUUGAGAAUUUUAGGGGUUUAUGUAAUUUAUAUUUUGUCACAAGAUUGUCAAAAGGGGGAAAUUGUUAAUUAGUGCAUUAGGCUACUUAGUUUAAAUUAAAAAUUUUGUUCAAUCCAUCUUCACUUACAGACUUUUUUAGAUUAUUAUGUUUUACUAUUUAUUAAAAACUUAAGGUUAUUGCAUGAUCAAUUGGAAUAAUAUAAGUAUAGAGAUGUUCAAGAAAAGUUAAUUGGAAUCAAUUAUAGCAUGAAAUGAAUGUUAGGCUUUAAGCUAGUGAAAAAGGUUUUAAAAUUAAUUUGAAACUACUCAUGAGCCCGAGCUCAAGCAUCACUUUUAGUGUUCAAGCCAAAAUUCUAUAGGAUACUGAAUUUUUUUUUUUUGUCAUAUUUUUAGAGGUUUAUUGAAACAAAAAUUUAAAUUUCAUCUCUUGUUUAUUAUUUAAUACAAACUUUGAAAAUAAUUUAAGUAUUAGUUUUCCCACAUUCUAAACUCUUAAAAGUUCUCAUUCUUAGAUUUAUAAGAGAGAUUUGCAUCGCGAGAUGUACACUAAGGUCACAAUCAAGAUUUACAAACUAUUCGCGUUGCAUGAUUUGUUUUACUGUAAUGGUAGGUGAUGAAUUUAUUUUAGUUCACAUGUGAAAAUGAUGGGGCUAUAAAGAAAAAGAUACAAGUUAAAGUCCGACAAUUUUUUUUUAAUUGAGAUUCAUUUAUUUAUUUUUAAUUGAGAAAAAUAAAAUAUUAAUAUUAUUAGAAACUUUAUUUAUCAAUUUUUUUACUAUACAAUUUUCAUACAUCUAAUAUGUGAACUUUUUAAUAUCAUGGCAAAAGUGAAAAACAAAAAUAAAAUAUUUAAAAAAGAUUGAUCAAAUUACCAAACCAUCUUAUACUUAAAAAUAAGGCACUUAAAAAGACAAAUGACUCUUAGAAAGAGAAUUUGUAUUUUCAUCAAUUUAAGUUCUUUAUAUAUCUAUUUUAUUUGCACACUUACCUAAUUAUUUACAAUAUACUUCAAAUAAAUUUUAUUAUAUACCUUCUUUCACCUUCUUUCCUUGUUUUUUUUUUCUUUGGCAAAAAUAUUCUUCUCUCCAACUUUUUUGUUAUAAAAACAAAAUAAUAUUUGAGAUUAGUGUAAAGCUGAUUGUAAUAUUUUAAAUGUAUUUUUUAAUUGAAGUACUCAAUUAUAUUAGGUUUAUUUCAUAUAAAUAUAUUUUGAGUUUAUUAUUUAUAUAAUUUUUUUAUUAAUAUUUGUUAGAAAAAUAAUUAAUACUUAUUAAAGUUUUUUAAAGGCAACACUUACUAUUUUUUUUUUAAGAAAUACCGACCCUAAACUAAAAAGGGUAUAAUUGAAAUUCAUAAGGGAUCAAAAUUUCAAUUACAAAUUUGAUGACCGUUUUGAAUACUUGUCAACUAAUUUUAACUAUUUUGGAUAAUUUUUCCAUCGCCAAAUUGAAAGAAAGGCAAAUAAUUACAGAGAUUCGAAUGGAUCUCUAUUUGAAAUGCCCGCUUGCCCGCCCUUCAUUUAAGGACCUUUGGUUGGUUUUUCUAUGGGUGACGGGGGAAGAGAGAAACAAGAAACCAAAGGAGGAGGGUAGCUCAUUUUGGGUCUUGCCAGUUUUUGGAGAAGGAUAGCUUACUCGAAGCCGCUUCAAGCAAUACUACUUUGGCGGACCUUUUCAGGUAUGGCAGCUGUAAGCUUCUUUUUAUUUUUUAUUUUUUAUUUAUUUGCUCCAUUUUCUGCUGAUUUUCUGAUCGAUGUGGAAAUCAAGGCUUAAAUGAUUGUUUUGCUGAAUCUGAAUUUGUUUUCAUACUAAACUCUGUUUUGAUUUUAUACUGAUCCCUUUUAUUUUUCCUGUAAAUAACUACCGUAUGGAUUGUUCUUGAGUUGGAUACUUGAUAAUCAUGCCACUGCUCUAUGCUUAUCCCACUUACGUUCAAUCCCAUGGAUAACACAAUGAAAUGUAAGAUAUGGUAUAUUUAUCAAAAUCAACAAUGAGUGCCCCUAGCAUCAGACACGGUAUUAAUAGAGGCUUCUAUUUGAUAUACCUAUCCAUCCAUGUAAGAUAUGGUAUAUUUAUCAAAAUCAAAUAAAAUUCUGUGUGAAACUAUUAAACACUAUGAUUUAAUACAUUAUAGUUAUGUACAAGCCAGAUCAGCCCAGUCACCCACCACGUAGCUUAUCUUUUUUAAUUUGAAUUAAAUUAAACUACUAAAUGCAAUAUAUUUUGAGAUAUUUCUAAAAUCUGUUUGAGAGUAUUAGAGGUUUGUGUAAUAUAUUUAGUAACAAAACUUCCAAAUGAGGGUUAUUUAGUUUAAAUUGAUAAUUAUGUUCUGUUUAGGACUUUUUUAGAUUAUUAUACCUUACUUUUUAUUGAAGAUUUAAAGUUGUUGUAUAAUCAUGAAAUGGAUGUUAAGCUUUACGGAAAAUUGAUUUUAAACUAUGUAGGAGCCAACGUUCAAGCAGUACCCCCGAUGCUCAAACCAGAGUUUUAUAAAUUCUGAAAAUUUUCUUGUUCGACAUUUAUUGAGAGUGUUUUCUUUUUAAAAAAUUUUAGAUUUCAUUCUCUAGUUUUCACUCUUGAAUGCAAACUUUGAAAGAAAAAUCUAGGUAUUGGUUUUCCCACUUACCAAACUUUUAGAAGUUUGUUUUUUGAUUCCUAGGUUUGUGAGAGUGAUUUGUAUCCCCUUUGAUAUUGAGGUUGUCCAAUGGGUGCACAUGUGGUGAUAUGUGAUGAAAAAUUAGUAUAAGUAUCAAGAGAGUAAGAUUUAUGAAUAACUUUUAUCAUGUGAAUAUGUAUACCAGUUGUUUUAUAAUGAAUUUGUGUUUUGUGAUUUCUGGUAGUUUUUCCAUUUGAAUAUUCUUGUUGAUAACUGUAGGAUGAUUUUCAGGUAAACAUAAUUAUAUCUCCUGUUAUUGACCCUUUUUUACAUUCCUCAAUUAUUAGAGAGGAAUUAAAAACAAAUAUUUUGGGCUAAAGCGAAAUAAAUGCUCUAAAAAAUAUUAGUGUUGCACAAUUUAUUUUACUAUAAUGGUAGGUGAUUAAUUUGACAAAUAUAAUAUAGGAAAGCAAUGUCACAUCCCAUUCAAAUUUUGAAAAAGGCCUAAAGUAAAUUAUAGAAAUUACAUGCUGAAAUACAAGAUUUAUGGAUUGAAGUUUCUACAGAGAUAUGUGGGGUAGCACUCUGUCUAGAUAUCUCAUUCUCGUACUAACAAUGACUGUAGAGAUCGAGAUGGACCAUUUCGUGGUGCCGCAGGAAGUAGUUGCUGAUCAGGUUGUAAAUCCUGCGGAUGGCGGUAGGCAUAUUAGAACCUUGGCCAACUUAAAAUCCGAAAUUUGUCGAACACGAGACGACACUCCAUCAGAAAAAAAUGCAAAGCUAGAAUGUCCCAAGGUUCCAAAGUCGUUGUUGCCAUCAGAUGCCAUGGGUUCUGAGUCUGACGGCCACCGCAAUGAGCCAAAAAUCAUGUCUUUGGGUCCUUACCACCAUGGCAAUCCCAAGCUCGCGCGUGGAGAAAUAAUCAAGCUUAAUUUGGCAGAACAUGCCUUUUUAUUAUUUUCGAUGUCGGAAUCAAUCUCAAUAGAGGAGGUCGAUGAAUUGUACGGCGAAAUUAGCGGUCAAGUCCAAUCGCUGAGGAGCUGUUAUGAUGCGAAGUCGACGGAGAAUUAUUCGGAUGAAGAAUUCAGUGUGAUGAUGAUGGUGGACGGGUGUGCUUUACUGUAUUAUAUGUUUCAUGCUUGCUAUGGUGAUGAACAUGACCAAGAAAAUUCCGGUAUCAGAUAUCAGGAUCUAAGGCAUCUGCAGCGGGACGCGUUGCUGCUGGAGAACCAACUUCCCUAUAAAUUACUCCUGGAACUGGGCGAAAAGGUUCCAGGAUAUGACACUAGUGAGUGGAUGGCACUAUGCUUGGAAUUCGUUGGAGUGAUUGGGGAGGAGGAGGAGGAGGAGGCGUACUCAUUCCCGCAAAAAAUGAGGAAAUUUUGCUCCGGCCCGUUCGGCCAAAUUAUUGGCCGGAGUCUGAUGAAGAGUCGGUUAUAAACCUUAAGCCUCUUCAUCUCCUCGAUCUGUACUUAAAUAAUUGGCUAGGAGCCAAACGUCCUAGCCAAAAAAAAAGCGGCGGUGGGGAAUCAGUUAGAUAUGUGAAGGAGAAGGUUAUGGCAUCAUUUAGAAAUGUGAAGGAGCUUAUGGCCGCUGGAAUCCGCAUCAAGCCUAGCCCUACGCGUUACUUGAGGGACAUUUCUUUCACUUCAAAUGUCAUCACUGGAUGCCUCAGACUUCCUAUCAUCACUAUUGAUAACUCAACCAAGGAUUUGUUCUUUAACUUGAUAGCCUGGGAAAGGUGCUCAAGUCGUCGCCAUGACAGUCAUGACUUCAUCUCUUACCUUUGCUUCCUUGAUUCCCUCAUUGAUCAUGCUGAUGACGUUAAGGAGCUGCAGUCAGCCGGGGUACUCCAAAACAAUCUAGGCACGCAUGAACAAGUGGCUGAAUUUUUCAACACUCUGUCCGCCAAGUUUGAAUCAAACUUUCAUGCUUACAGAGAUGUGAGAGUCAAAAUUCGGAAGCACCUUAAAAGUCACCGUAACAGCAAACUGAAAAGGUGGAUGACACAAUGCCUGGACACCUACUUCGGUAGCCCCUGGACUAUCAAAGCUUGGGUUGGUGCUGCUUUGGUCCUUUUCUUUACUGCCGUCCAGACUUAUUUCACAGCCUUCUCUCAUUGAUGCAUUCAUGGCCUGCUUUCUCGCUAUCUAUUGAGUGCUUCUGCAUUUUACCUAGCCUAAAUUCAUGGACUCCAUAUAACCCUUUGAUGUGCAAAGUAAAUUAGGCAAAGAGUCAUUGGUCCCGUUUCUUUGCCAUUUCAGCCUAUUUUCUACCGUCCUUUCCGGGUUUAAAACAAGUAAAAAAAUAAAUGUAUGCUGUGAUCUUAUUUUGGUGUAUUUUGUGCUUAUGUACGCAUAAGUAAUAUUAUGUUUGAUUUAAGUAACUAAAAAUAGACAUGGGUGGACUGUUUUCUUUUUAUGUUUGGAUGCCUAUUAAUGGAUUAUAUUAGGUUGGCAAUUUUAUUUUAUUGAUGUUGUACUCCAUGUAACUUAUUUCCUCGGAUCUUAAUGGUUGGGAUCGGGCAAGUGUUUGAAGAAGUAAGAUAAAGAAAUGAAAACUUCAGAAAAGAAAAAAAAAAAAAGAACCGAAACAAAACAAUGUGAAAAAUGGAGAAAAACCAGACAGGAAUGCAGGAAAUUUUAAUAGAUGAAAGUCAUUUAUUCAUUUUUAAUUGAGAAAAAUAAAAUAUUAAUAUUUUUAUUAGAAAUUUAUUUAUCAAUUCUCUAUUAUAAAAUUUUCUUGGAUUUCAUGGAAAAUAUAUUAAAGAAAUUGACAUUAGCUGCCGGGAACUUAUCUAAAAUUCCUUUUUUUUUUGUGACAAAGAAGCUUCUGAGGAAAGGAUUUUUUUCAAAAGAAAAAUAAAGGAGGGAAGAAGGUAGGUGGUAUGGAAUAGAAGAAUGGAGAAUGGUAUGAAUGUAUUGAUACGAUUUUUAUCUUCUUGGUUGAUUGUGUAAAUAAGAUGGCUGCGUCACAGAAUUUCACGAGUAAGGGAGUAGUAUUUUUUGGAGAAGAAGAGUUUAGUAAUUUAAUUAUUUUUUAUUUAAAUAUUUUAUUUUCUUUCCAGUUUUAAAGAUGAUAUUGGAAAGUUUGACUCGGUAAUAUUAGGUUUAUAUUUGUUCAGAAUAUGUUUAGGGUUUACAACUCAUAAUUUUUGGCAAACAUUUGUCACAACAAUAAUUAGGAAACUUUUAAGAUGUAUUUAGAAGUGAAAAGUGUUUUAAAAAGUGGAAAAAUCUCCAAUAAAAGCAAGAUUGUGUUAUCUAGCUUGAUUUUUUUGUUCUUUGCUUUUCUCUGCUUUUGUUGCAGCUCUUCUGACCAAAAUACUAAUAGUUUCUAUUAAGCAAAAUAAUAAAACAGACACAAGAUGUAGAAUGACAGCACAUGAUAAGAAUCCAUUUUCAUUAAUAUUUAUAUAAAUAAAAAAUUAAUCAAAGAUUAAUAAUAUUUUAUUCUCCUAUUUUAGAAAAUAAUAUUUAUUUUAGAUAAAUCAAGAGCUAUUAAAAAUAUUUUAUUCUCUUAAUUUAGGAAAUGACAUUUGUUUCCUUAAUUUUAAGAUAUUUAUUCUUUCAUUCUUUCUAUAAUUCACAAUGUAUCGUUGUAUAAUUUUUUAAAAAGAAACAAUAAAAAAAUCGUUUUCAUUAGGAAGAAGCUCAAACUUGAGUCCUCUCCAAGAGUGGUCAAAUGCCAGAAAAGGAGUGGUUGAAUAAUAUAGUCAUGAUCAAAAUGGUUGAGAAGACGCAUAUUUCAAAUUGAGGGGUAGAGGCUUCACCCUUUCUAUGUGUUACAAUUCUUACAAAAAAAAUUCUUUUAUGUUUUUAUCGAAUCUCUAUCAAAAAAUGAUGUCUUCACCAUGUUUAAGAGUAAUCAAAUAUUAAUAAUAUUUUAUUUUCCUAAUUUAAGAAAUAAUAUUUAUUUUAAAUAAAUCAAGAGCAAUCAAAUAUUAAUAAUAUUGGGUUAAAUACACUUUACCUUCUCAACCAAUGGUAGUUCUUUUUUUCCCGCACUGUUUUGCUUCAUUUUUGUCUUUGAUAGCUAAGAAAAUUUCUAGACAAAGAAUAAAUAUUAAGUGAUGAGGUGUUUAUAUCGGUUAGGGUUUUCUUUUGAUAGUUGAAAAAAUUUUGGGAAAAAGUUUAAAUUUUAGGUGUUUAGGGUUAAGGUUUUCUUUCCAUAGUUGAGAAAUUUUAUGAAAAAAAACAGAUUUAGGUGUUUAGGUUUCCUUUUCAUAGGUGUUUAUUUAUAGUCAAUUUAGCUUUCUUAUGACAUUUUUUUUUUGUUUCUUUUCAUCAACAUUGCAUCUAUAUAUUUAUCUAAUAUGAAUUUUAUAUUAUAUGUUUGCAAAUAAACCACCUAACUAUUUUACCAUCAAUUAUGAAGGGCGAUUUAGGGGUGAUAUGAGACAUGUAUUUAAGAAUAGUGAUUAUUUGGGUGGAAAAGUGGAUUAUGUUGAUAAUUGUGACAAUAAUGUAAUGUUUUUGAUUGAGUUGGAUCAUAUAUUGUUUUUAUUAAGAUAUAAAUAUUGCAUUGAAUAUUUCUAUGCUAAUAAGAAAGUGAGAAAAUAAAAGCUAAACCUUAAUAGAAAAAACACCCAAGGGGGAGGGAGGUGAAUUGGGGUUUAAAUUUUUUGUUUUUAAGCACAAUGAAUUCAUGUAAAGGAAUCACAAAUAUAAAGAAAUAAGGAUAAAAAAAACUUAGAUUUUAUAGUGGUUCGGCACCCUUUACUUAUGUCAACUCUCCUCAAGUUCCUAAUCGAGUGAAGGUUCCAUUAUACUUGAAGCUUCAACCAAGCGUCCAACCUUUCAGACCUAGAUUUUGGCUCUAAUGAGUUAUUACACAAUUCGUUCAAAUUUCUACUCACUUGAAGCUUCUAACACUCAAAUAAGAAGUUUAAAUCUGUCAACUAAGCUCAAUAAGAGAUCAAAUACAACUAAAAUACUAGGAUAAAUAACAAUGGUGCACUAAAAGAAUAUGCAACCGAGGAUUUUAAUGCAUCAAGGAGAGAAUGAGAGCUUUUGAAUCAAGAACUGGUAAUUAAACAAAUAAAUGUAGGUGUUCUUAUCUUCGUUAAUGAAAGAAAGCUCCCAAUUUAUAGGUUUCUAGCCUUGGGAGCCAAAAUAUCAAAAAAUAGCCUCGACUGGUCAAGCUAUAGGUCGAGCGGUUGACUAGCCAUUGGGCAAUUAAUGCAUGACCGGUGACUAAUAGGCCUCAACUAGACCUUGAUCGGGCCAUGACUGGGAAGGCAUACCCCUCGAUUAGGAAUGCAACACUACUAGAAGAGAGAGAAGAUUUUUUACAUCUCUCGAUCGAUCCUCGACCGGGAAGACAUAAACGGUCGAUCGGUACUUUAACCGAUUGAUCAGUGCCUUGACCAGUUUACCUUUUUUGGCCUAAAAAUCUGUCAUUUUUUUUUGUUGUUUUUGCUUUUAACACCUAGGUAAGGUCUCUAGUCACCGAGUAUGUCAAUUUUCAAACAAUUUGCUUAAGGUUCAUUUGAUAAAACUCGGAUUUUAAUCAAAUGUGUCUUUAAUGCACUUAGGAUAUGGAAAUCCUAAGUGUACCCAUGUAUUCAACUUACAAACGGUUCCUAAGAUUAAAAUAUCUUCUUUGUGCCUUGAUCUUGAAUCUAUUGGAUCCUUUGAUGAAUUUCUCGGAUCUUGAUCUUGAAUCUUGAAUCUAAAUAGACAGGACUAAGGUGGUGUUUGUUUUUUUUACUUAAUUCUAAAUAGAACCUUAAUACUUAAUAGCAUUAAAUAUUAGGUUAUUUGUUUUUAUAGUAUUUUAUUUCUAUUAAGUAUUAAAAAGUAAAAAAAAAAAACCAAUAUGUUAUUUUUUUUAUUUAGAAAAAGUUACAUAUUUUGGCUUUUUUUAUUUAGUAAAAAGUUUAUAAUAAGUCAUGAAAAAAUAAAAAAACAAACAACCUAAAUUCUAAAACUAAAUUGCUUUCAGCAAAAAGCCAAAAAAACAAACACCACUUAAGCCUCUUUGUUGUCAUUUUUUUCAACCUUGGUGCCAAUCAUAUGUCCGGUAUUAAUUUACUCAUGAUGUGAUCUUGAUUCAUUGAUUACGAUAUAGUUUAUUUGUGGUAGAAUUUUGGGAAAAUUAAUAUAAAAAAUAUCUAAGAAAUGAAUUUGAUGAUCAAAUAAUCCAAGAAAAAAAGCAUCAAAUUUAUGAUAUGUAUAAUGAAAGAUGCAUUUAAGUAAAUUAAUAAGCUCGAACCCUUCCCAAAACCAAGGAGACACGCAUUAGCCUAUUUUAUGUGCUUCACUUGCUGUAUAUUAGUAGGUGUAUGAAUAGAUUAAUCUUUCUGAAGAGAAAAAAGAAGAAGAAGAAGACUUGAGUGCUCCUUUUUAAAUGUUAAAUGACCUUCCCUUUGGAUAUCAUUAUAUCAACAUGGACUAGCUGGCAGCAGCCUGUUGCCUACUCGAUUGGAAUUAUGGAGCUUGCAUGCAAUGAGCUGGUGAUUCAUAUUUCACAGGUGGGAUGUAACUUUUUUCUUUUUUUAAUAAAUGAUAAGAAUAUCUCACAUAUAAAAUAAAAAGAGAAAAUUAACCUAUACGUGGAAACUAUUCUCAAUAAUAAUUUUUUGUUUUUUAAACAUAAAAAAAUAUGAAAACUCAGUUGCCUGUAAUUAUUUCCAAAAUAGGUUGUAAUAAUACCUUUUAAUUAUUUUUGGUUAAUUUUAUUUAUUAUUUGGAGCUAUUUUUAAAUGUAAUUUUAGAAAUAUGAAAAAUGAUUGAAAUUUAUAAAAGGGUACAUAAAAGAAUAUUUUGAAAACAUACAAUAUUCAAAAUUACCAAAGAAGCUUUUAUUAUACCAUAGUAAAAUUAUUUUUGAUAAUUAAUCUCAAAAACCAUCUUUUUAUAACUAUUUUGAAAAGUAUUCUCUAACAAACCUUAUGCUUUUAGGGAGGAAUGGUAAUAUUUUAAUAAAAAUUAUAAAAUAUGAAUAUUAAUAUUUUAGUAAAGUUAUAAAUUAUAUUUUUUUUUGUUAAAAACAAAUAAAUUUUUUUAGAAAAUGAUAAUAGUUAAUAAUAUCUUAUUUAAACUGAAUUAUGAAAAUAAGUAUAAUUUAUUUUUCAAAAUAUGCAAUAAAUGAAUCAAGUUUUGAUCACGUACACAUAUUCAUUCCCUAAUUACAAGUAUUCUGAACCAGUUUAGUCCCACAAAAAUUUUAUAAUAAUUAGCAUAAUUUUUUAGUUUUAAUUUAUUUUUAAAAUAAAAGCAUGGAACUAGAUUGAAUCUUUCUUGGGAAUCCCCAGCAAUGCUGGAGGUUGUGGAGUGGCGGGAAAUCAGGGUCAAUUUCAAUCAAACGUGUAUCUCUUUGUAUGCUUAAAAUAAAAAAAAAAAUCUCGAUAAAUCAUCUCUUUCAAUUACAAAUAACUGUUAUUGAAUUAUUAUUAUUAUUAUUAUUCGUAAUAUAAUUCAAUUAACUAUUUGCUGGACACCUACAGUGUUACACCCGACUAAGGGGAAAAGAAAAAGAUCAUACAAGUUAAAGUUAAUUAAUUUGACAAAAAAAAAAAAAAAUCAAAUUUGUUUCAUCAUCUCAAGAUGUCAAGGGUGAAGACUACUACUAUGCGCCAAAACUCAUUUCUUUGGGUCCUUACCACCAUGGCAAGCCCACCUCAAGGAUGGAGAAACGCUCAAGCUUAAAUUGGCAGAAGCCUACAUCCAAGAAUGUGUGCCAAGAGUGGAUGAAAUUUACCACACAAUUAGCGAAAGCAUUAGUGAGCUGAGGGGCUGUUAUAAUGCGGAGUCCACAAAGAAAUAUAAGGAUGACGAAUUAACCAUCAUGAUGCUGGUGGACGGGUGUGCUUUACUCUGUUACAUUUUAUGCGUUUGCUUAGGUUAUGGCCAUGAAGAUUUCAAUAUCAGAUAUCAGAAAAUGAAAAUUUGGAAGGUCCUUCGUCAUCGGAAACUGAAAUUGGCCGGAGGCUGGGUAGAGCAUCAGUUAGAGAUGUGAAGGAGGUUAUGGCAUCAUUUAGAAAUGUGAAGGAGCUGAUGGACGCUGGAAUCCGCAUCAAGCGCAAUCCUACACGUCACUUGAGGGACAUUUCUUUCCGUUCAAAUGGGAUCACCGCAUGCCUGAGAAUUCCUCCCAUCACCAUUGAUAACUCAACCAAGGCUAUGUUCUUGAACUUGAUAGCCUAUGAAAUGAGCUCAGACGUCGACCAUGACUUCAUCUCUUACCUUCGCUUCCUUGAUUCCCUCAUUGAUCAUGCUGAUGACGUUAAGGAGCUGCAGUCCAUCGGGAUACCAAAACAAUCUAGGAACCCACGAAGAAGUGGCUCAAUUCUUCAACACCGUGUCCGCCAACUUGGAAUCCAACUUUCAUGCUUACAAAGACGUGAGAGUGAAAAUUCGGAAGCACCUUCAGAGUCACUAUAACAGCAAACUGACGAUGUGGAUGACACAAUGCCUGGACACCUAUUUCGGUAGCCCCUGGACAAUCAUAGCUUGGGUUGGUGCAGCUUUGGCCCUAUUCCUUACUUUCGUCCAGACUUACUUCUCAGUCUUCCCUCAUUGAUGCAUGCCUGUCCUGUUUUCAACUAUCACCAUCUCAAUUAAGGUAGUAUCCACUCCAAAUUUCCUUGUUUUUCUCGCUAUCUGCAUUUUACCUAGUCCAUGUAAAUUAAGCAAAGACUCAUUGGCUUCAUGCGCUUUUGACCUUACCUCUUUUGUGUUUUUGGUUUCAGCCUAUUUUCUACAUUGCUUUCCGUGCUUAAAUUAAGUAAAGAAUGACUAUGUAGUGUGACCUUAGUUUGGUGUAUUAUGUGCUAUCGCAAGCAUGUGCUAUGCUUGUAUAUGCAUCAUCAGCAGUAUUAUGUUUGAUUUAAGUACGUAAAUAAAGAUAGAUAUAGGUGGAAUAUUUUUUUUCUAUGUUUAUAUUCCUGUUAAUGUAUUAUAUAUAUAUGUUAGGUCGGCAAUUUUUUUUAUCUCAUACCAUUUUUAAUUAAAUCAUUCUUAAACUAUAGUUACUAAGCCAAAAAUUAUAAUGCUCUAGAAAUAUAAUCAAUCUCAUUGUCGAAUUUUUCUAAAAUAAUCUCAGAAUAAGCCCAAUAUCUCUAAUAAUAUGUUAUUUAAGGCACAUAAUAUUCCAAAAAGAAAAUUCUGCAAAAGAAAAAGAAAUUUGUUGAGAAGUGGUUUAUUUUAGUUAAUAUGAACAAAACAACAUUUUGUCCGAUGGAAAUUUGACUAAUGCUUGUAAGUACCGAUUUGUAAAUAUUUGUGGGGGGAGUUUCUUUUGACAACCGAUGGAGCAAUUCAGGUCAUGCAACACUUAUUUGACAACAUUCUAAAAUAAUGUUGUUAAAAAUAUUUAAGAAUGGUUCUGAAAAUAUAUUUUACUUGUUCUUAGGAAUAAAAUUCAACUUAUUUGACAAUAUUCUUAAGAAUAUGCUUUAUCUGUUUUUACUUUUUAGGAAUAAAAUUCCAUUUAAGAAUUAAAAUAUGAAAUACGGCUUUUCAGCCUUGUCCUUCACAAAGGCAUGCGCAGUGGACCUAUAAUGCAAGUUCUUUUUUGUUCUUUUUUAAAACACUUGCAUAAUUUUCUUAAAGAUUAUUUUCAAAAAAUUUUAAAUUUGAUGUAAUAAUUCAUAAAAUUUUCCUUGCAUGUAAUGAAAAACUCGGAUUAUUUGUAUGUUAUAAAAGUUAAAAUUUAUUUAUUUUUAAAUUAAUUUUAUAUCAAAUAUUAUUAAUUAUUAUUAUUUUAAAAAAAUUAUUUUUUUUAAAAUAAAUAAAUUAUACUUUUAUAAAAAUAUUAAUAUCCAUAUUUUUAUAAUAUAUAUUAAAAUAUUUUUUUUAUGAAAAAUAUAAUUUUAUGACUUUGUUAUAAUAUUACUAUUCAUAUUUUACUAGACAUUAUUUUGUUUUAUUUAUUUGUGAUAACAAAAAAUAUUUUCAUUUUUAAUCAAACUUAAAUUAAAUCUAAUUAAUAUGGUAUAAAUUGAAUUUAUAAUAUUUUUACAAAAUAAAAAUGGAAAAAAAAAAUAAAACCAAUUUAUUCAAAUAAACUUUUUUUUUCUAAUUAUUUUUAAAAACAAUUUAUCUAACACUCUUAUUUUUAUAAAAUGUUAAAAAUAUAUAUAUAUAUUUAAAAAAAAAAAAAAAAAAAAACAUGUUCACACAAAAUGUGCUAUUUUUUACCAUUCAGGUGUUAUCCCUUACUGAUGUAGAUAAAAGAUACGCAUAAAAUUAAAAAUGAUUUUUGGACUGUUGCUAUUUUGAUGGGUUUUUUUUUUUUCAAAUGAAACAUGCUUUUUCCCUUUUUGCCCCCUCUCUGAUUGAGGGUUUGUUUUAUUUCACUCUCAUGGAGAGCCCUCUCCAUCUGCCAGCCAACCUGACAAGUCUGAACUGCUCUUUAAGUCUUUCAUUAAUGACACAACUAACUCUCACAGCAGGCGUUGUAAUUGAUAGAAUCAAGGACAGGACAUGGAGUAAUUUGUUUUACUCCAUUUGCCAACUAAUCUGACAAGUUUGAAACACUCUUUAAUGCUUUGUUUUUCGUCUUUCAAUCAUGACACACCCAACUCUCCAUCAGGCGUUGCAAUUGAUACAAUCAAAGAUGGGACAGGUAUUCAUAGAGGCUUCUUUUUUUCUACACCUCUAUAACCACCCAUUUAAGAUAACGUAUAUUUAUCAAAAUCAAACAUUUACUACAUAAUUGUUUGCGAAACCAUUGAACACUACGAUUUAUUACAUUAUAAAUAUAAACAAGCCAGAUGAACCCAGUCACUCACAACGUAGCCUAUCAUAAUUUCUAUUUUUUUUUUCAUUUGAAUUAAAUUAAAAUUUUCAUAAUAUAAUACUUUAAUUUUUAUUUUGAAAUAAUAGGUGUUGCAUAAUUUGUUUUACUUUACUGGUAGGUUAUGAAUUAUUAUUAUUAUUAAUAUAAUUCAAGUAACAUUUUGUUGGAAACUCAAAGCUUUAUAUGUGACCAGGUAGGAAAAAAAAACACCUAUGAAGACCUAAAAUUAAUGUAAUACCAAUUCAAAUUAUAUAGACAAGUGAGAGGUAAGUGAAAACAAUAAAUAAGAAGAAUAAAAAAGGUGAAAAAUAACAAAUAAAAAAAAUAAGAGAGAGAGUUGAUUAAAUUUUAAAUUAAUAGUGGUUAAGUAUAGUUAACCUAUAUAUUAAGGGAUGUGAGUAAAAUUAAUUUUUUAAAAGUAUUGAAUGUAACCAAAAACAUAAAUAAGGUACUAGAAGUUUUGAAUAAACGUGGAUGUGAGAAAUGGUAUAUUCAUCAAAAUCAAAUAAAAUUGUUGAGAAAACUAUUAAACUAUGAUAUAUAUAUAAUGUAUUAGAAUCUUAUAAAAAUUAUAAGGACCUAUUUAUUAACAAAGUAUCUUACCAUAAAUUUUUAUUUAAAUUAAAUCAAAAGAUUUGACAAUAAUGACUUGCUAUUUGUUGGGCCUAUGUGUGCAGAUCACAGGAUUAUUCGUCAUUGGAUGUUGUUUGGUCACUGCAGUUUACACAUUUGAGGAUGUUUGGUUUAGACAAGUGUCACUGACAGAUUUGUAAACUUAUUUUUUAAAGUAUUUAGGGUUUAUUUAAUCUAUAUUUUGCACAAAAUUGGCAAAGAGAAGAGAUUGUUAAUUAGUGCAUUAGACUACUUGUUUAGAUUUACAAUUUUAUUCAAUUCAUUCUAACUUAAAACUUUUCUAGGCUACUAUGUUUUAUUCUUUAUUGAAGAUUUAAAAUUACUACGUGAUCAAUCGAGAUAAUACAGGCAAGUGUAAAGAUGUACAAGAAAUGUUAAUUGAGAUUGGUUAUAGUGUGGAAUGGAUAGGCUUUUGAUUUUAAAAUUAUGAAAAAGGUGAGUGUUUUUCGAUCCCAAUGCUCAAGCACUCCUUAGACUACUUAAAUGCUUAAGCCAAAAUUAUGUGAAAUUCUAAAAUAUUGUUUUUUUCAUAUUUUGAAUAAUGUUUUUUUUUUUGGGGGGAAAUUUUAGAUGUCAUCCCCCUCUUUUUUUUUCUCUUUAAUGCAAACUUUGAAAAAAAAAAUUAGUCCGAGUAUUAGUUUUUCCACAUUCUAAACUAUUAGAAGUUUGUUUUCUCAUUCAUGGGUUUGUGAGAGACAUCUACAUCCAUUUUAGGCAUUGAAGUGGUCCUCUGAGUGCAUGUGUGGUGCUGCGUUAUAAACGUGAAAACUAAUAUAUGUAUUAAGGAGUAAGACUUAGGAAUAACAUCGAAAAUCUAUAUACCUUUUGUUUUAAUAGUGGAUUUGUACUUUGCAUAUUUUGACCUUGUGAUUUUUACACCUGCAUAAUCUUUAAAAGACUGGGAGUCAUUUCCAAGUAAAUGUUGUUAUAUCUCCAACAUAAUCUUUGAAAGACUGUAGGAGUAGUUUCCACGUAAAUGUUCUUAUAUCUUCUAUAAUUGAUUUUUCUUUACAUUUCAUAAAUAUUAAAAAGGAAAUAAAAAUAAAUAUUUUAGGAUAAAAAGAAGUAAAUACCUGUUGACUUCCUUUAGUUUCAUAACCAAGAUCUACAAACCAUGAGUGUUGCAUGUGAAAAGAAAUAUUUAUUUAUUUUGGGCUAAAAUAAAUAUUUUUCUUUCAAUUUAUUUUACUGUAAUGGUAGGUGGUGAAUUUAUUUUAGUUCACAUGUGAAAAGAAUGGGCCCUCAUCUGCCAUUUUGGACAAGUUGGUUCACUGAUGUGAUGGUAAGGUCAAUUUGUAGUGGAAAGAUUAGCUUAAUUUUGAGUACUCAUUAAAAGGUGGAGAUAAUCUUGUUCUAGACAAAAAUUAUUCAAUCAGUCCAAGAUUUUUUUAAUCUUUAUAAAAAUAAAUAAAAUCUAGAUAUGGAAUCAGUCACGCGGAUGCUAUAAAAUCUGAAAAUAUACCAAAUCAAUGUCACAUCCCAUUCAAAUUUUGAAAAAGAUAUAAGAUGAAUUAAUAAAAUUAUAUGAAAGAAUGUAAAAUACAUGUUGAAAAGUGAAAACGAAUAAUUACAUUGAAUCAAAGAUAAAAAUUGAAAACUGAUGCGUAGAAAGAAAAUGACCUGAUGACUUGGGGAAAGAAAAGGGAUUCAAGUCAACUUUUGACACAAAAAAAAGAAAAAAAAAAAGAAAGUAUAGAGAUAUCUAGUAGUACUAUCUCCAGCUAUCUCAUUCUCAUACUAACAAUGGCUGGGAAGGAGGUGGUGGUUUCAGUGGAGGAGCAGCAGGAAGUAGCUACUAAACAGUCUGAAAAAUCUGCGGAUGGCAGUGAUCAUUCGAGAACCUUGGCUGACUUAAAAUCCAAAUUUCGCCGAUCUCCAUCAUCACCGUCAAGUCCAAAGCUACAAUGUCCCAAGGUUCCAAAGAAGUUGCGAUCAGCUGUCAAGGAGGAAGACUACUAUGCCCCAAAACUCAUUUCUUUGGGUCCUUACUACCAUGGCGAAUCCCACCUCGCGAAUGGAGAAACGCUCAAGCUUAAAUUGGCAGAAGCCUACAUCCUAGAAAUUACUGUGUCACAAGGGAACUCAGUCGAGCAGUCAGUCGAUAACAUUUACCACAUGAUCAGAGAUCGCAUUGAUGAGCUGAAAGGUUGUUAUGACUAUCAGGAGUCCAGAAAGAACUAUAAGGAAGACGAAUUCACUGCGAUGAUGCUGGUGGACGGGUGUGCUUUACUGUGGUACAUUUUAUGUGUUUGCUUAGGUGGUGACCAUGAAGAUUACGAUAUCAGAUAUCAGGAUCUAAGCCUUCUUCACCAGGAUGCGUUGCUGCUGGAGAACCAACUUCCCUAUCAAUUACUACAGGAGCUGAUGAAGAUGGCGGUCCCAGAAUCGGCCAAUAAAGCUUGGACAGUACUAUUCCAGGAAUUCUUUGGCAUGAUCGACGAGUCAUUCUUCCAAGAAUUCUUUGGUAUAAAGGAGAAGGAGUACUCAUUCCUGCCAAAAAUGAAGAAUUAUUGCUGCCGCAUGUUCCUGGCAAUCAUCCAAAUUAUUAACAGGAAACCAAAGCUGAAACCUGGUGAAGAGUCGGAGCCGAAACCUGAUGUAGAGUCGAAGAUGAAACCUGAUGUAGAUUCGAAGAUGAAACCUGAUGAAGAGUCGAAGCCGAAACCUGAUAAAGAGUCGAGGCUUUGUCAUCAUCUCCUCGAUCUCUACCGAAGAAAUUUCCUAGGCGAUGAACGUUCUAGCGCAACGCAUUCGGAGGCUGAAAAUGGCAAGAAGGGUCCGGGAUCAGUUGGAGAUGUGAAGGAGCAGGUUAUGGCAUCAUUUAGAAAUGUGAAGGAGCUUAUGGCCGCUGGAAUCCGCAUCAAGCGCAGUCCUACACGUCACUUGAGGGACAUUUCUUUCCGUUCAAAUGGGAUCACCGCAUGCCUGAGAAUUCCUCCCAUCACCAUUGAUAACUCAACCAAGGCUAUGUUCUUGAACUUGAUAGCCUAUGAAAUGAGCUCAGACGUCGACCAUGACUUCAUCUCUUACCUUCGCUUCCUUGAUUCCCUCAUUGAUCAUGCUGAUGACGUUAAGGAGCUGCAGUCCAUCGGGAUACUCCAAAACAAUCUAGGAACCCACGAAGAAGUGGCUCAAUUCUUCAACACGGUGUCCGCCAACUUGGAAUCCAACUUUCAUGCUUACAAAGAUGUGAGAGUGAGAAUUCGGAAGCACCUUAAAAAUCACUACAACAGCAAACUGAAAAUGUGGAUGACACAAUGCCUGGAUACCUACUUCGGUAGCCCCUGGACUAUCAUUGCUUGGGUUGGUGCUGCUUUGGCCCUUUUCUUUACUGCCGUCCAGACUUACUUCUCAGUCUUCCCUCAUUGAUGCAUGCAUGCCCUGUUUUCUCGCUAUCUAUUGAGUGCUUCUGCAUUUUACCUAGCCCAAAUUCAUGGACUCCAUAUAACUCUUUGAUGGUUGCAAAGUAAAUUAGGCAAAGAGUCAUUGGUCUCGUUUCUUUUCCAUUUCAGCCUAUUUUCUACCUUCCUUUCCGUGUGUAAAAAAGUAAAGAAGGAAUGUGUGGUGUGAUCUUAUUUUGGUGUAUUUUGUGC
This 72458-nucleotide long non-coding RNA is filed under the name Vitis vinifera (wine grape). Its description in RNAcentral is "long non-coding RNA (VVIN_LNC005254)". Lineage: Eukaryota; Viridiplantae; Streptophyta; Magnoliopsida; Vitales; Vitaceae. The record is from RNAcentral.